RNAcentral lists this long non-coding RNA (55423 nucleotides) under Citrus maxima (pomelo). RNAcentral describes it as "long non-coding RNA (CMAX_LNC002291)". Lineage: Eukaryota; Viridiplantae; Streptophyta; Magnoliopsida; Sapindales; Rutaceae. The record is from RNAcentral.
AUGAGACCGGGGUCGAACUACAUGGAGUUUUAAAUCUAGUAAAACUAAGAAAAUAAAUUGUGGGGAAAAUAAAUUAUUUGAAAUCAAUUUAAAAAUAAGCUAAGGUUUAGGAUCCACUCUCUGUAUUCAAACUAUAAUUUUAAUACUCUCUCAUUUAUAUUUUGCCUCACUUUUACCAAUUAAUUAUUAUAUUAUUUAAUUCUAUGUGUGUGGAUAAAUAUAGAAUAAAGUACCUAAUGUGCCACAUUAUAUUAAUGUGUCGACAUUAUGUCAAAAUACCAUAAAAUCCAGUGAGAUUUAUAAAUUAACAUGAUAUAAAAAUAAUUAGAAAAGAAUUAAAUAAACUUAAAAACUCAUUUGAGAAAAUAAUAAUAAUUAAUAGUUUGAAACAUUGAGCUUCACCAUUCAUCUCAGCUUAAUAAAAUUAACUAUUCAUAUUGAAAGAAAACACAACACUCUUUUUAUUUGAUAAACUUUUUGAAAUAUAUUACAAAGAAAAUUGAUACAAACGGAAACAAGAAAAGAAAAGAAAGAAAGAUAGAAAGUCUUCAGUCUCAGCUUCAACUCUCAAAAUAAUUCUCUCCCUUCUCCCAUUCUGGCUUGCAUCCCCUUGCCUUUUAUAGGUAAGGAAAUCGUCUUCUUUUAUUUUAUUUUAUUAAUAUUAAUAUUUUAUUUUAUUUUAAUAUUAUAUAUAUAUAUAUAUAUAUAUAUAUAUAUAUAUUGAAUUGUGUGAUGGUCAGAGGCGUGAUGGCCUCCUGACCAUCACCAACAUGCUUUUGUUCUUUUUUUCUUUUUUAUUUAUUUAUUUUUUAUUUUAUUUAUUUUAUUUAUUAUUUAUUAUUACAUCUCUUCAAUUGUGUUCCAAUAGUUCUUCUUUGUUCCCGCUUUCAAUUCCAAUUCCACUUUUAUUCUUGAAAAAUAUUUACAAGAUAAAAAUUAACAAAUUACAAAUUAAUUUAAUAUAAAUAUAUUUGGGGAGUAUUAAAAUAAUUUAGAAAUAAUGAACGCAUUAAUCAAUACAAUAAGUGAAAAACUAAUAAUUUUAUCCUUAUUAAAUGUACACUUUUUAGUGUCAAUCACACCCCCCAACCAGCUUAUUGCUAGGCCCUAGCAAUUUAUGCGAUAAAAAUUUAGAGAAAUUUCAAAACCAAAUUGAAAAUCUUUUUUUUUUUUGAAAAAUUGUGUUUACUUCCUUCAUCAGAUUAAUGACAACAAUCAAAUAAAAGUAUAAGCAUUAUCCUUAGCCUAAAGAAAAUCACACCCGCUCAAAACAGUUCAGUAAAAUCCUGUAAAAUGAUCAAUCAUCAGAGCUACAUUAAUCAAGCCACUUUUAAGAAUAAUACAUCAAACCCCAAAAUCUCACGAUUAAGAGUGACUCUCUCAAAAGAAGAUAUACCCCAAAUUAAUUUGUCACUCUAAAAAAAGGUAAAUUUGAGAGAAUAAUAAAAAAAUAUCACACGCUCUCACUAAGAUGAAAAAAUAAUGCCUACAGCUUAGAAAUAAAAUGAUUUCAAGUCUAAUGAAUUACUAGCAAAAUUUAUUUUUAUUUUUAUAUCACCACAUCUUUUAGUCCAUAUUACCAGCUUUUACUUCAGACUAUAGUUCCCAAUAAUCGAUAAGGACUUUUAUUAUGACGUAACGUAAGCUAGGGUUAUGGCUAACAAAAAAGGUAAUAGGGAAAACAAAAAUAUAUGUUUGAAAAAUAUGAGACUUUUUGGAGAUUAUAAGGUGUUUUUUUUUCUUUUUGCUUUGGAUUUUUUUUCUUCUUUUUUUUAUUAAUUGAUAUAUAUAUAUAUAUCAUAUUUUUUUUAUAGCACCAUUAUUAGGAAUACAUAAUCAUCCCUAUUUUUAAAUAUAAUUGAGUGAUGAAAAACAUAAAACAUAAGGUGAUACUACUCAUUGGAGUAGGAAAAUAUGAUAGGUUUACCAAAGAAUUUUUUUUUUCAAGGCUCAAAUGGGUUAACUAUGGAUUCUUUAUAAUAGGGUUGGCUAGAAAGGCUCAAACGGAUCAAAUAUGGCAUUCUGUCAUCUUUUAGGGUUCUAUAUAAUCUUUCAUAUCCACUAAUUCAAUGGACUUUUAGAUGCGGCUGCACAAUUUUUUUUUUUUUUUUUUUUUUUAUAGAAAAUAUUGAGAUCUUGUACAAUAAAUUGUGAAGCUGUAUAGACAAACAAGGUUACUCUCCAAGGAUAAUAGGCUCAAAAACUAGCUUGGUCUUUUCAUAACAUGUACAUUCCUCCAAAUGACUUAAUCAAUUUCACUCAUUCAAUUUCUCAAUUUACGUUUCAACAUGCAAAGGGAAAAACAUAGUGUAACAUAGCUCAAGGCCAAAGAUAAUACGAAUACCAAAAUUUGAAAAUCAUCAUGUUAUCCAAUGUUAAAAGAUCACAUCAAAAAAGAAAAUAAUUUUUUUUUUUAAGAAAACACUUAAAAAAUGGGACUAAUUGCAGAAACUUAAGGGAGAUGAUUAAGAGAAAAAGAGAAAAAGACCAAAAACAAAAAGUUAGAAACAUUUUUUUUUUGGAAGAAAGCACAAAAAUUAAGAAGAUGCGUUUCUAGAGACACUACAUUCUAUAUUCUGCCAUCUUCGACUCAAAUUUUUAUCCAAAGUUAGUAUUUAUAACAAAAAUUAGUAAAAAUAUCAUUAGGACUGAGACAUUCCAAAAUUUAUUUUUUGGAAGAAAACACAAAAAUUAAGAAGAUGCAUUUUUAGAGACACUACAUUCUAUAUUCUGCCAUCUUCGACUCAAAUUUUUAUCCAAAGUUAGUCUUUACAAUAAAAAUUAGUAAAAACAUCAUUAGGACUGAGACAUUCCAUAAUUAUCAACUACUCCCUCCCCCCAACCUGAAGGAGACAUUGUCCUCAAUUUCUAAAGAAAGGAGUAGAGUUUAGAAGAUAUCACCUGGCCACUGCUGGAAAUAUUUACAGACGGAGAGUUAAAUCUAAUUUACACUUUUUACGAUAGUUACUGCCAUCGUCAUCAGUUGCCUAAUCCAAUGCCAAAGUCAUGGGAUCUGGCUCUGGUUUGUAAGCUUGCAAAAGAUCAAGUAACUCAUUAGCAGUAGGAGCACAAAUGAAGAGUUUUUUCGCUGAUGAUGGAAUGGAAUAAUUUUUAAUUGCAUGAUUAAGAAAUGUUAUUAAGCCAUCAUAAAAGUUAUUAACAUUUAACAAACCGAUGAGUUUUUGAUGGAUAUUCAAAUGGGCCCAAGAAGCAAAUGUAAUUAGCGCCUCCAAAGUUGCAAAGUCUCCUGGCAAGAAAAUGAAAGCGUCAGCAUGAUUUAACAUUUCAGAUACCUGAGACAACUAACUCUUCUCCAGUUGGUGGGUCUAGUAGACAUCCUAAAGGUUUUAAGGCUUUUGGAAUGAUGCCUAGCACUUGGCUUCCUCGAACGAAAGCAACUUCAGAGACAAGUUUUGAUAACCCUCGGCCACCUCCUCCAUAUACAAGAUGUAGUUUCCUCUCUGCUAUAGCACGACCAUGAUCUACGGCUGCCUGAACGAACUCCUUAUACUUUCUAUAGUGAAAUUCAGAAAGCACACAAAUGUUUUUAAGUUGACUGCUUAAAGUUGCUGCCAUUAGAACAAUUCUAAAAAGAAACAAUUUGUGAGUGCUUGAAAAGAAGUUCCUAUUUAAGGAUCUUGGUGACGGACAUAAUGAUAUACAUCUGUAAAUAGGGGGUGUGUUUGUCAAAUGACGCGUGAAGCUUUUAACUUAAUAAUUCAAAGGCAAACAAUGAAAAGAAAAAGCAAACAGUGAUUAGAUAAAAUAAAGGAAAAAAACACACAAUAAUAAUAAUAAUGCAAAAGAUAAAAGAAUAGUAAAAUAAAAGAAUAUUUACUGGUAGUUGUGAUUGUGGCUCACAUCCUCCUAGCUUGAACACCCUCUAUGGGUCGAGGAUAUGCUUCCCAUCCAGUUUUCUUAUAAACUGGCAAACAAGGUCUUUUAGAGUCAGAUUCCCAAGACUAAACUGUGCAAUUUCAUUUUGGAACAACUUCCAUAAAUUUUGAAUUUCAUGUUGAACAUAUCCGCUCGGAUGCGUCUCAAGAGAUCGUAAGAUAUCAUGCCAUCCUUAACGAAUUUGAUUUUAUCUUCACAAUUUACAGAAACCAUUCCUAAAGCUAUACAACGUGGAUUUUUAAAAGCAAGUCUUACACAGUGAGAACAUUCAGAGCCAAGUCGCUUAGCUCUUCUUUUCUUAGCAAAUGUACUUUUACUAAAACCAGGCAUGUAGGAAAUGAAUGGAUCAGAAAACUCACCUGCCAAUCGGACCUUUACUUCAAUUAACCAGCGAAUGUCAGCAGGAAUCCCAUUGAUCAUUAACAAACGCAAUCGUUCACAACGAGCUUUGUAAAUCUUCUUAAGAGCAUUUUGAGGGAGAGAAGGUAAAUGUUUAUGCAAAUUUUGUUGUAUUUCUUCCAUACUUGACAUUGAGGUUUCAGUUAUUGUGGGAAACUGAGAAUACCGACUUAAAAAGUCACGGAGUACCGUUAUCCGCCAUUUAUACGGGAGAGUGAAUAAAAAAAAAACGAAUCAAAUCUGCAAAAUCAAAUCAAAAGUGAAGAAGAACAACAAAAUAAAACAAAAACACAUAAGGAAUAUAACUCACCUUCGUCCUUUUAUUGAAUUUAGUUCCAAUUGCAGAUUAUAAAUACCAUCGUCUAUUUCCUUGAGUUGUCUUUCUAGAUCUUUCACGUGAGAUACUAACUCUGGUGGUUGCAGAUACCAAAUGGGAUAUAAUUUACAAAAUCGGAGCAAUUUCCUCAGGUAAAAUUUUACAUGAAAAAGCAUUUUAAGAUGAUCGAAAAGGAAAUUUCUCAUGGAGGUACUCAUGACAAGUAUUAAGAUUUGGUGAGCUAAAUCACAAUUGUCAAACAGCACACAAUACAAUGAAUGCACUCCAUUCAAGACAUAGGGAAAAGGAAAAAGAAAAAGAAAAAAAAAUCAAAUAAUUCAAACGAUAAAGUAACAAUAAAUCAAAUUCACAAAACAUUAAAAUGACAAGGCUUAAUCAAAAUUUUGGUAGGUCACUCAAAUGGAUUUCGGUAUCUGCUUCAUGUGGUUGGUAUUCCAGAUAUGGUUUCAAUCUUUGGCCAUUAAAUUUAAAUGUGACACCAUCCUUUGGAUUCUCAAUUUCUAUGGCUCCAUAUGGAUACACAUUUUUUACAACAAAUGGACCAUUCCACUUUGACUUUAACUUCCCUGUAAAUAAAUGAAAACGAGAAUUAUAAAGCAACACUUUUUGACCAAUUUCAAAUGUUUUUCGAAAAAUUCUUUUGUCAUGAAAAAAUUUGAUUCUUGCCUUAAUAAUUCUGGAAUUCUCAUAUGCAUCAUUCCUUAAUUCCUUAAGUUCAUUUAUUUGCAAUUUACGCACAUUGCCAGCAUCAUCAAGAUUUGAAUUAAAAGCUUUAAUGACCCAAAAUGAUUUAUGUUCAAGUUCUACUGGUAAGUGACAAGAUUUUUCAUAAACAAGCCGAUAGGGUGACAUUCCUAAAGAUGUUUUAAAAACAGUACGAUAUGCCCAAAGUGCAUCAAUUAGUCGAAGAGACCAAUCUUUAUGGUUUGGAUUAACUGUCUUCUCUAAAAUUUAUUUUAUCUCCUUAUUUGCUAAUUUAACUUGACCACUUGUUUGAGAGUGAUAAGGGUAGCAACCUUAUGUGUAAUUCCAUAUUUUUUCAUUAAGGACUCAAAUGACUUAUUACAAAAAUGCUUACCUCCAUCACUGAUAAUGGCUCGAGGUAUUCCAAAUCUGCUCAAAAUAUUUUCUUUUAAAAAGCGGAUCACAAUCUUGUGAUCAUUGUGCCGACAAGGAAUCGCCUCAAUCCAUUUUGAAACAUAAUCAACAGCAACUAAAAUGUAUGCAAAUCCAAAUGAUGAUGGAAAAGGGCCCAUAAAAUCAAUUCCCCAACAAUCAAAUAUUUCAAUGACAAGGAUAAGGUUUAAAGGCAUCAGUUUCGCUUUGAAAUAGACCCUACCAUUUGACAAUUCUUACACAUUUUACAGAAUGCAUGUGAAUCAUUAAAUAAUGUAGGCCAAUAAAAUCUACACUGCAAUAUUUUUGCAGCUGUCUUUUUUGAAGAAAAAUAGUCACCGCAUGCUUCAGAAUAACAAAAUUGAAUGACCCUACUUACCUCGUCAUCUGGUAUGCAUCUUCGAAAAAUUUGAUCGGAGUAGUACUUGAACAGGUAUGGUUCAUCCCAGUAAAAGCUUUUCACUUCUGUUAAGAAUUUCUUCUUGUCUUGGGAACUCCAGUCACAUGGCAUUUCAUCUGUUGCAAGAUAAUUAACAAUAUUAGCAUACCAAGGCAUUUCGUUUAUAGAAAAUAAAAAUUCAUCAGGGAAAGAAUCAUUUAUGGAUGUUAUUUCAAUUGAAAACUCAUUUGUAAGUCUUGAAAGAUGAUCUGCAAUAACAUUUUCAGCGCCCUUUUUGUCCUUGAUUGUCAAAUUAAAUUCUUGAAGUAGCAAAAUCCAUCGUAUCAACCUUGGUUUGGCAUCCUGUUUUGACAUUAAAUAUCUCACAGCAGCAUUAUCAGAAUAAACAACAGUAGAUGAACUAAUUAAAUACGAAUGAAAUUUAUCCAAUGCAAAUAUUACAACAAGUAGUUCUUUCUCAAUUAUAGUGUAAUUCAUUUGAGCACUAUUCAAAGUUCUACUUGCAUAAUAGAUGACAAAGGGCUUACCUUCCUUUCUUUGACCCAGAACAGCGCUAACAGCAUAAUCACUAGCAUUAUACAUUAGCUCAAAAGGCAAAGACCAAUCAGGGGAUUGCAGUAUUGGGGCUGAUGUCAAAAGAGUAGUUAUUUUUUUAAAAUAUUGUUGACAAUCUUUAGUCCAUUCAAAUUGUGUGUCUUUUAUUAGAAGGUUACAAAUUGGUCUAGAUAAGGCACUAAAAUCUUUUAUAAACCUCCUAUAAAAUCCUGCGUGUCCUAAAAAAGAACGGACUUCUCUAAUUGUUUUUUGUGAGGGUAAUUUUGAAAUGACUUCAACUUUGGCUUUAUCAACUUCGAUUCCUUUUGAAGACACAACAUGGCCCAAGACAAUUCCAGAAGUGGUCAUGAAAUGACAUUUUUUUCCAAUUUAAAACUAGUCAUUUUUCUUUGCACCUUUCCAAAACUUUUUCUAGAUUAUCAAGAAAUGUAUAAAAAGAAUUACCAAAUACAGUUAAAUCAUCCAUAAAAACCUUUAGACAAUUUUCAACCAUGUUAUUAAAAAUGCUUAGCAUGCACAUUUGAAAUGUUGCAGGAGCAUUACAAAAUUCAAAUGGCAUUCUCCUAAAUGCAAAUGUUCCAAAUGGGCAUGUGAAUGUGGUCUUUUCCUGGUCUUAUAAGGCUAUAGAAAUUUGAUAAUAGCUAGAGUAGCCAUCAAGAAAGCCGUAGUAGGGAUGUCCAGCUACUCUUUCGAGAAUUUGAUCUAGAAAUGGAAGGGGAAAAUGAUCUUUUCUAGUGGCAUUAUUUAAUUUUCUGUAAUCAAUGCACAUGCGCCAACUAGAUAGAAUUCGUGUUGGGAUUGGUUCACCUUUUUCAUUUUUUACAACAGUUAUUCCAGAUUUCUUUGGUACUACUUGAGUUGGACUUACCCAUUUACUAUCAGAGAUAGGGUAGAUAAUUCUUACAUCUAGUAGUUUAAGGACCUCAUUCUUUACCAUUUCUUUCAUAUGAGGGUUUAGUCUUCUUUGUGGUUGACGGAUUGUUCUGGCAUUUUCCUCUAAGUGUAUUCGGUGUGUGCAAAUUAAAGGAUUAAUUCCUUUUGUCUUUUAAGGUCCAACUAAAUGCAGUUUUAUGCCUUUUUAGUAUAGAUAACAACUUACCUUCUUGAUCAUGCAUGAGCUGAGAAGAUAUUACCACUAGAUAUGUCUGAUUCUCUCCAAGAUAGGCAUACUUCAAUUCUUCUGGUAAGGGCUUUAAUUCGAGCUCUGGUGUUUUCUCGUCGUUUGCUUCUUCAGGUUGUACCAUAUCUUCAAAGUUCGAUUGGUCAUCGUCACCUAUAGGUACCUGCAUAGAAUCAAGUGUAGGGCAUAUAUUAGCAGUAUCAAAAUCUAAUUCCUUACUUGAUUCAACAAAACCAGCAAAAUAAAUUUCCACAGAGUUUGUAAAAUUCUCAUCCUGAAUGUGUUCCUCAAUGAUUGGCUCGAUGAGAUCAAUUUCCUCAUUCUCAUUAUCAUCAUCUUCUUGGUAGUGCGGUUGUUUACACAUGUUGAAUAUAUUGAGUUCCAGUGUCAUGUUGCCGAAAGAUAAGUUCAUUAAUCCAUUCCUGCAAUUUAUCAAAGCAUUAGUAGUAGCUAAAAAUAGUCGACCCAAUAUAACAGGAAUUUGUUUGCAUUCAUUAGCAAUUGGUUCCGUUUCCAAAACAAUAAAAUCCACAGGAUAUAUGAAUUUAUCGACCUGGACUAAUACAUCUUCAAUUAUUCCUUUUGGAACCUUAAUCGAUCUAUCAGUAAGUAAAAGAGUGGUAGAAGUUGGUUUUAACUCACCGAGAUUGAGUUGUUGGUACACUGAGUAAGGAAGCAAAUUAACACUAGCACCAAGAUCAAGUAAAGCAUGUCCAAUUUUAUGAUCCUCAAUAGUGCAAGAAAUAGUUGGACAACCAGGAUCCUUAUAUUUCAAAGCACUAUCGGUUGAGAGAAUAGAACUUACCUGUUCUGCUAGAAAAGCUCUCUUUUGCACCUUAUGUUUCCUUUUCACCGUGCACAGAUCUUUCAAAAAUUUAGCAUAAAAAGGUACAUGUUUAAUGACAUCCAGCAGAGGAAUGUUGACUUUUACUUGUUUAAAAACUUCAUAAAUUUCUGGACUGUGGUUUGAUUUCUUUGGCUUGAUUAGUGCUUGAGGAAAUGAGGGUACAAGAGGAGAGUUGGUUAUUUCUUCAUGGGUUAAAGGUUCGACAAACUCUUCCCUAUUUUCUGAAAUUGAAUCUUUACUAGUUUCACGAGGGUCCACAAUGUAUUUUUCAACCACUUUACCACCACGAAGGGUUAUAACCGAUUUGACUUGACUUAUAUUUUGGUUUCUUGAAUUUUCUAUCUGAGGAUGUUGUUGACUCUUGGGGUUUGGUUCUGGUUGAGCAGGAAACUUUCCUUUUUCAUGUAUGGUAAGAGCAGAUGUAAGUUUGGAGAUAGUUUAUCUCAAAUUGGUUAAGGUUUGCAUCGUUUGGUUAUUUAUUGACUCUUGUUUUUCAAUAAACGAAUGCAAUGUGUCUUCUAGAGUUUUUCUUGGUGGUGGGACAUAUGGUGGGUAACUCUGGGAGUUUUGGAAAUUUUGACGUGGAGGGACUGGUUGUGAAGGUUGUGCAUGAUUGUCAUUUCUCCAACUGAAAUUUGGGUGGUUUCUCUAACCAGAGUUGUAAGUUUGAGAGUAUGGAUUUGGCUUUGGCCUUUUGAAAUUGUCAACGACAUUUACUUGUUCAUGCAAACUUUCUCUCAAAGCUGGUAAAGUUGGACAGUCCUGCGUAGAAUGUGUUAGCCUAAGGGCUACACAUAUUGUAAUUUUGAUGAUAAAUUGAUAACAAACAUAUGUAUUAAGUGAUUUAAUAAAUAUUGUAUUUCACAUUUUCACUAGUUUUUGAAGGGUAAUAUUUAUCCAAGUGAAUCAACUGAAAUCAAGCUCAAGACACUCAACGGACAACUGCGAAAUCAAGAAUAAAGUUUAGAGCUCAACGGACAAAUUAGUGUGAUAAAUUCUUGUAAAGCUGGUAUGAUUUAAUUGAUGCAUGAUUUAGCAUUUGAGAAGCUCAAGAGAUUAAUUUAAUUAAUUACCUUUUAUAAACUAAAAGGUUUUAUUUUUAUAAGAUAAAGUACCUUGUGAUUUUGAGUAAUUUGGACUAAAUGCAAAGUUUUGAAAUCUUUGAUUUUAAUAAGUAUUAUUAUUGAAUUUCAGAGUUGGACCUUUUUACAAAUAUUUGAAAUUUUUUGGGUCAUACUAUAAUUUAUGAAUAUUUAGGACUAAAGUGAAAGGUUUUGAGAACUUUGAAAAAUAUGGGUAUUAUAUUGAAAAAGGACUUUUUUACGAAAGAAUAAUAUCUUUGGGGCUAUAUCAUAAUUUCAGAAAGUUUUGGAAAGACAACUAUUAUUAGGAAAUUCUAAAAUUGGACCUAUUUGUAAAGUUUUCUAACGUUUUAGACCAUAGUAUAAUUAUAGGAAGUUUUGGGCCAAAGUGUAAUUUUAGUGAACAUUGUUACUGUAGCAAAAUUCAAAAAUAACGGUAAUAUCUCUAUUCAUGAGCGGCUAGCCAGAUAAAUCAAGCAGCUAACCGCUUGGGCGCAGGAAUUUACCUAUAACGGAUAGUUUUCGGACUUUAACUAUAAAAACUCAACUCCAACUUCAUUUAAAGAACUAGUACAAGGAAAAAUAAGAUCAUAUAACAUAUAUUGAGCUUCCAUUUCGUAAAUCAUCAUUUAUUGAAUCAUCAUUGAGCUAUAAUUUGUUAUCUACUCUUAAAGAGAGUUUCAUUGUUGUGAUUUUCAUUUCUCAUCAAAUUGUGAGUGUACAAGUGUGAGAAACACUUGGGGUGAAGAGAUUGGGGAUAUAAUCUCUUGUUGUAAAGGUCCAUUGACACCUUGGAAGUCAAUUGUAAACAUUUGAAGCCUUGGGAGGUUUGGAUAGUGAAAUCCUCAAGCCGGGUGAGCUUGGAGGCGUGGACGUAGGCGGGGAUAGCCGAACCACGUAAAAAUCCUUGUGUUUGUUUUCUCUUCCCUUACUCUUUUAAUAUUGUGCUUGAUUGAAUUUAUUAUUUUUAAUUUGAUUAAGGCAAUAGAUUAAAUUAUUGUGCGAAUUGUAUUACAUAAAUUUUAAAAUCCCAAUUCACCCCCCUCUUGGGUUGCAUAACCUGCAUUUCAUUUGGUAUUAGAGCAAGGUGCUCUUGGGUAGACUUAACCGUCUAGAGUUAAAGAUCCAUAGCAACCCAUAAUGACUCAACCUUUAGGGAAGGACAAUCCACAAUUAGACCACCGUUCUUUGACGGUAAUGACUACCUAUAUUAGAAAACUAGGAUGAGAAUUUAUUUACAAGCUUUAGAUUAUGAAAUUUGGGAAAUUGUUUGUGAUGGUCUAUUUAUGCCUUUGACUAAAAACGAAGUUGGGGAAGAUAUUCCAAAACCUUCACGGGAAUGGAAUGAAUUGGAAAAGAGAAAAGCUUCUCUAAACUCCAAAGCUAUGAAUGCCUUGUUUUGUGCACUAGAUAAGAAAGAGUUUCAUAGAGUAUCUAGUUGUGAAAGUGCUAAUGAAAUUUGGCAUAAACUUGAAGUUGUUUAUGAAGGCACGAAUCAAGUGAAAGAGUCUAAAAUCAGUAGGUACACUCGACAAUACAAAUUGUUCCAAAUGGAACAAAAUGAGAGUGUGCAUUCUAUGUAUACUAGAUUUACGGACAUAAUGAACACUCUAGGAGCCCUAGGAAAGACCUUUUCAAAUAGCGAGAAAGUUAAGAAAAUCAUUAGGUCGCUACUUAAGGAAUGGAGAGCAAAAAGGACUGCCAUUGAGGAAGCUAAAGAUUUAAAUAUCUUACCUAUUGAUGAUUUAAUUGGUUCUCUUAUUUCUUAUGAGGAAGACUUGGCAGCCGAAAAAGGCAAUGAAGAGAAGAAGAAAAGCAUUGCUCUCAAAGCCUCGAAACAUGAGAGUGAUGAGGAAAGCGAACUGGAUGAAGAGGAGAUGGAUAUGCUGGCUAGAAGGUUUAGAAAAUUAUUUAAGAAAUCCAGUGAGCGAAGAAAAUUUAAAGACCUCAAGAACCGAAGGAGAAGAAUGAAGUAAUCAAAUGUUAUGAGUGCAAGAAGCCUGGCCAUAUAAGAACAGAUUGCCAUCUUCUCAACAAGCUCAAGAAGAAAGCAAUGGUAGCCACAUGGGAUGAUAGUGAUGAGGAAACAAGUGAUGAUGAAGAGCAUCAAGAAAUGACAAAUCUAGCUCUCAUGGCAAUUGGAGAUGAAUCGGAUGAUGAACUUAAUGAGGUAAAUGAUCUUUCUACUUAUGAUGAAUUAUAUGAUGCUUUUAAAGAAUUGCAUGAUAAUUGGAUAAAAAUUGGUAAAAAGAAUGCAUGUCUUAAAAAGAAAAUGGUAAAGCUCACAAAUGAAAAUGAAUCUCUAAGUGCAAAGAUUACAUGCCUAGAAUUAGAGAAUAAAACAUUGCAUAAUAGAGUUGCAUUAUCAAAUGAGAAACCUAGCACUUUACAUGAGCAUCUAGAAUCAUAUGUAGAUGAUUUGAAAAAUGAAAAGAAUGCUUUACAAAAAUGCAAUGAUUUAUUAAAUGAAAAGAUUAAAGGACUAGAGUUAGAUAAUAAAAUGUUGCAUGAUAGAAUUGCAUCAUUUAAAGGUAAACAAAGUAUUUCAUAUGAGCAUGAAAAAUCACAUGUUGAUGAAUUGAUGAAAGAAAAUGAAGUGCUUAAGAAAAAGAGUAAUGAGCUCAACGAAAUUGUGUUAAAAUUCACAAGUGGUCAAAAGAACUUAGAAAAAUUACUAAGCACUCAAAAAUGUGUGUUUGAGAAAUGAGGACUUGGGUAUAAGCCUAACUUGAAACAAAAAUAUUAUAAAAAUUAUUUUGUUAAGGCUACCUCCAUAAGUGAUCAUAAGAUUGUUUGUCAUUAUUGUAAUGGAAAUGGUCAUAUGAGUUUUAGAUGUCCAAUUAAGAGAAAUGUAUAUUAUGGAGUCAAGUGUAUUUGGGUUCCAAAAGGAACCAAAUCUAACACUCAAGGACCCAAGAGUAUUUGGGUACCAAAAUGCACAACUUGAAUAUUUUCUUUGUAGGUACCACAAUCAAGGAAUGGCAGAGAGUUCCUUGAUAAAAGCUUAUGAGGAUAAUCACUUUAUCAUGGUGUAAGCAAAAAUGAUGAGACAAUAUAAUUUAAUUGUUUUGGUCACAACUAUUGCCUUAUUGAUUGUAAGUGAUGGUCUUUUAAUCUUAGUAAGUAUCUAAUAAUUCACUUGGUAUCAUAACAUUAAGUGCAUUAACAUGAAGUGGAUAAGUUUAUUUUGCCUAUUUAUUAUAUUGAGUGGAUAAUGAAAAAUGGAUAGUAGCUUGAAUUUGUGAAAGUAUGCUUGUAUGUUUACAUGAUUGAAUUAUCAUUGUGUUUAACAUUGAGUGCUUUAUCAUGAUGGAUUUAUUUGAUUUUAAUGAUUAUGUAAUGCCUAAGUAUGAUAAAUGAGUAAUAUGCUUGAAUUAUUAAUCUUUGAAUGCUUAUAUGUUUCAUGAUUGAGUAAAAUAUAUACAUGAUGGAUGAAUUAUAUGUGUGAAUUAAUCAUGUCUUAAAUGUUUAUAAUUUCAACCAUAAAGUGUUAUUGUAUCUCAUAAUUGUAAUGGAUAAGCAUGAUGAAUAUGUUAUAAAUUUGAGUUUUAUGAUUUUUUGGAUGUUAAUUAUAUUGAUUCAUGCAUUAAAAUGGCUUUUGAAAGUGUUCGGAUCACGAAAUGGUCUUAAAAUCGAUCAAAAAUAGCCGGAGAGUAAAAAUUGGUGCAGAUUGGCAGCCAUGAGGCGGCUAGCCGCCUGCCCCAAGCGGCUAGCCGCUUGGGUACUGUCCCAAACCCGAGAGCAAGCGGCUAGCUGCUUGGUCACGAGUUUUUCCCAUUUUUUUUGUUUUUCCUUUCUUCUUCACAUGUUCUUAUUCGUUCCUCUCUCUCCAAAACCGUGAGCCACUCUCUUCCAUUUCCAAUCAAUUUCUCUUCAUUUCUCAACCAUUUUUAUGCCAAAAUUAAUCAUUCAAACCAAUACCCAUGCAUUUCACUCUCAUUAAACACUUCCCAAUCAUCAUUUCUUCACUUGUUCUUCAUCAUUUCAUCAUCAUCUCUCACGCGUGAACAGUACCUCUCCAUUUCUCUCUCAAAUUUCUUCAUCUUUCACUCAUUCUCUUGCCAAAAUCAAUCAUCCAACUCAUUAUUCAUCCAUUACUCCUUCAAUUUUCACUCUCAAAACUUGAUUUCAUCAUCUCUCCACAUAAAACCCAAAAUUAAAAACCUAACUUACCCAUUUCUUUCUCUUCCAAUUUUCAAGCUUCCUUUAGCCCACUUUUGAUCCAAUCAACAUCAUCGAUUAUCUUAAAUCAUCUCUUGGAUCAAUAUAAUCGGUUUAAAAUCAUCCAUUUCACUCAUUAUUUUACAAAACUGAAUUUGUGCAUUUUGGGUAUUUUAAUUUACCACUUCCAUAGUGUCCUCUCCUUAUGGAUUUUACCAUGAUUCCUUAUUAUAUUAUGCAUCUACAUUUUCAUAUGCAUAAUUGUUCUAAUUGUGGAUUGCGGAUGAUGGUUGUUUAAUAUUUGGAUAAUUUAUACUUGGAUGAUAUUUUCUAAAUUCUUAGAAUGAAUAUGACUCUUUGGAUUAAUUGCAUGCUUUAUUUUUAUGCUUCUUGAUUAAUCAUUGAGGUGUUAUUUUUGGUGUAAGCAUGGAUUCAUAGUAAUUUUGAUGAUGAAGAGGGAGAAGUCAUGUAUUUUGAAUUCUAUUUUGAUCUUGAAGUAUUUGUGCAUGGUUUUGAAAUAUUAAAGGGGAGUUUACAAAUUGUUAUAGACCAUAUUUUCAGGGGGAAUUUUGAAUUUGAUUUAUAUGUUUAAUUAUGUAUGUCAUGUAUUAAGGGGGAGCAUAUAUAUCAAAAUACAUGAGAUGUUUGUCAUCAUCAAAAAGAGAGAGAUUGUUAGCCUAAAGGGCUACACAUAUUGUAAUUUUGAUGAUAACAAACAUAUGUAUUAAGUGAUUUAAUAAAUAUUGUAUUUUACAUUUUCACUAGUUUUUGAAGGGUAAUAUUUAUGCAAGUGAAUCAAGUGAAAUCAAGCUCAAGACACUUAACGGACAACGGCGAAAUCAAGAAUAAAGUUUAGAGCUCAACGGACAAAUUAGUGUGAUAAAUUCUUGUAAAGUCGGUAUGAUUUACUUGAUGCAUGAUUUAGCAUUUGAGAAGCUCAAGAGAUUAAUUUAAUUAAUUACUUUUUAUAAACUAAAAGGUUUUAUUUUUAUAAGAUAAAGUACCUUGUGGUUUUGAGUAAUUUGGACUUAAAUGCAAAGUUUCGAAAUCUUUGAUUUUAAUAAGUAUUAUUAUGAAUUUCGGAGUUGGAUCUUUUUACAAAUAUUUGAAAUUUUUUGGGUCAUACUAUAAUUUAUGAAUAUUUAGGACUAAAGUGAAAGGUUUUGAGAACUUUGAAAAAUAUGGGUAUUAUGUUGAAAAGGACUUUUUUGCGAAAGAAUAAUAUCUUUGGGGCUAUAUCAUAAUUUCAUAAAGUUUUGGAAAGACAACUAUUAUUAGGAAAAUUUGAAAUUGGACCUAUUUGUAAAGUUUUCUAACGUUUUAGGCCGUAGUAUAAUUAUAGGAAGUUUUGGGCCAAAGUGUAAUUUUAGUGAACAUUAUUACUGUAGCAAAAUUCAAAAAUAAUGGUAAUAUCACUGUUCAUGAGUGGCUAGCCGGAUAAAUCAAGCGGCUAACCGCUUGGGCGCGGGAAUUUGCCUAUAACGGAUAGUUUUCGGACUUUAACUAUAAAAACUCAACUCCAACUUCAUUUUAAGAACUAGUACAAGGAAAAAUAAGAUCAUAUAAUAUAUAUUGAGAUUCCAUUUUGUAAAUCAUCAUUUAUUGAAUCAUCAUUGAGUUAUAAUUUGUUAUCUACUCUUAAAGAGAGUUUCAUUGUUGUGAUUUUCAUUUCUCAUCAAAUUAUGAGUGUACAAGUGUGAGAAACACUUGGGGUGAAGAGAUUGGGGAUAUAAUAUCUUGUUGUAAAGGUCCAUUGACACCUUGAAAGUCAGUUGUAAACAUUUGAAACCUUGGGAGGCUUGGAUAGUGAAAUCCUCAAGCCGGGCAAACUUGGAGGCGUGGACGUAGGUGGGGAUAGCCGAAUCACGUAAAAAUCCUUGUGUUUGUUUUCUCUUCCCUUACUCUUUUAAUAUUGUGCUUGAUUGAAUUUAUUAUUUUUGAUUUGAUUAGGGCAAUAGAUUAAAUUGUUGUGCGAAUUGUAUUGCAUAAAUUUUAAAAUCUCAAUUCACCCUCCCUCUUGGGUUGCAUAACUUGCAUUUCAGAAUGGUCAGUAGAAUCGCAAACAUAACAUGAAAUAUUUUGAACAGACUUUACAUGAUCAUUCUUUUUCGACUCUAAUGCUUCAACUUUUCUAGCUAAUGAUGCAAAUUUAGCUUGAAAAUCAUGGUCUUCCCUAAGGUUAUGCAUGCCUCCACCAGAUGGAGAUGACUGGGGUUUACUUGAUAACUCAUAAGAACCAACUGUAUCCCAAUGUUGUGCAUUUUCUGCUAUAUAGUCAAGAUAGUCUAAUGCAUCUUCACGACUUUAAUCCCUAAACUCACCAUUACACAUUAUUUGAACGACUUGUCUACCUUGGGAUGUUAAUCCCUCGUAGAAAUAAGAUACUAAUCUCCACGUUUCAAAAUCGUGAUGUGGGUAAAUGUUAAGUAGUUCUUUAAACUUAUCCUAACAUUGGUAGAGAGUUUCUCCUGAUUUUUGAGUGAAAGUGGUGAUUUGUCUUUUCAAAUAAUUUGUUCUGUGGGGUGGGAAGAAUUUUUUUCAAAAAUUGUGCUUGCAUUUCAUCCUAAGUUCGGAUGGAUUCUGACCUAAGAUUUUGUAGCCAAGUUUUAGUUUUAUCCUUUAGUAAGAAAGGAAAAAACUUAAGUCUGAUUAUAUUCAUGCUACAAUUUUGAUCAGUACAUGUGUUACAGACUUCCUCAAAUUCCCUUAAAUGCAAAUAUAGAUUUUCAGACUCAAAACUAUGAAAAGUAGGAAGAAGUUGAAUGAUACCAGAUUUGAAAUUAAAAUGUGAUGCAUCAGGAGGGAAAACUAUGCAUGAUGGUGACCCUGUUAUAGUAGGAUGCAUGAAGUCUCUAAGGGUCGUAGGUUGUUCAUGAAGAUUUUGCAAGGCUUGAUCAUUUUCAUACUCUAAAAAAUUUUCAGCUCCUAUGUCAGCCAUAUUUAAGGGUGGUGAAGGUGAUUUUAUAAUUAAUCUACCACUAUUUGUACGAUACCAACGACGCAUGCAAUGCUAAUGAUGUGUGCUAAACUAAUGAUGCAAAAAUGCUAAAUGAAAAUUGCAGAAAUAAAAAUAAACUGGAAAUUAAAUAAGCAAAAAAUGUGAAAUAAAAAUAAACAAACUGAAAAAUAAAUAAAAUAAAAAAAUUAGGCGGUGAAACCAGCCAUAAACAAAGAAAUUAAAAGAAACAGUUUACGCGGUAUUUUAAAACCAGCCAUAUAAUAAAACAUAAAAUUAAAUGAAUUAAUGCACAAAAAUAAAUAAACUGAAAUUAAAAUACUAGGCGGUAGAACCGACCAUAUAAAUAAAAAUACAUAAAUUAACAAAAUUUAAAUAACAGUCAAGCGGUAGAACCGACCAUUUAAAAUAAAUGCGGAAAGUAAAUUACAGAAAUUUAAAGAAAUAAAUUUGAUUUAGGGACUGAUUUGCAAAGGUUUCUUGGCUAAGAUGAAGUUUCUCACAAAUUUUAUGGAUAAUGUUAAGGUUUGAAAAGAAGAGGGGUGCUAACUGAAGUUUUACAAAAAGAGAAUAAAAUAGAAUCACGGAAAGAUGGUAAUGACAAAAGAAAAAAAAUUAAAAUAAAAUAAAAAUAAAGUAAAGACAAACUAAUACUAAAUUUAGAAAACUUUCCGGCAACGGCGCCAAAAACUUGACACGACUCAAAAGUGUAUUACUAUCAAGUAUAAGAGUGUCUAGUUAUAAUAUAACCCGGUGAGACCGGGGUCGAACCACAGGGAGUUUUAAAUCUAGUAAAACUAAGAAAAUUAAUUGUGGGGAAAAUAAAUUAUUUGAAAUCAAUUUAAAAAUAAGCUAAGGUUUAGGAUCCACUCUCUGUAUUCAAACUAUAAUUUUAAUACUCUCUCAUUUAUAUUUUGCCUCACUUUUACCAAUUAAUUAUUAUAUCAUUUAAUUCUAUGUGUGUGGAUAAAUAUAGAAUAAAGUAUCUAAUGUGCCACAUUAUAUUAAUGUGUCGACAUUAUGUCAAAAUACCAUAAAAUCCAGUGAGAUUUAUAAAUUAACAUGAUAUAAAAAUAAUUAGAAAAGAAUUAAAUAAACUUAAAAACUCAUUUGAGAAAAUAAUAAUAAUUAAUAGUUUGAAACAUUGAGCUUCACCAUUCACCUUAGCUUAAUAAAAUUAGGUACUCAUAUUGAAAGAAAACACAACACUCUUUUUAUUUGAUAAACUUUUUGAAAUAUAUUACAAAGAAAAUUAAUACAAACGGAAACAAGAAAAGAAAAAAAAGAAAGAUAGAAAGUCUUCAGUCUCAGCUUCAGCUCUCAAAAUAGCUCUCUCCCUUCUCCCAUUCUGGCUUGCAUCCCCUUGCCUUUUAUAGGUAAGGGAAUCGUCUUCUUUCAUUUUAUUUUAUUAAUAUUGAUAUUUUAUUAUUAUUAUUAUUAUUAUUAUUAUUAUUAUUAUUAUUAUUAUAUAUAUAUAUAUAUAUAUAUAUAUAUAUAUAUAUAUUGAAUUGUGUAAUGGUCAGGAGGCGUGAUGGCCUCCUGACCAUCACCAACAUACUUUUGUUUUUUAGUACUUUUUUAUUUUUUUAUUUUAUUUAUUAUUUAUUAUUACAUCUCUUCAAUUGUGUUACAGUAGUUCUUCUUUGUUCCCGCUUUCAAUUCUAAUUCCACCUUUAUUCCUGAAAAAUAUUUACAAGAUAAAAAUUAACAAAUUACGAAUUAAUUUAACAUAAAAUAUAUUUGGGGAGUAUUAAAAUAAUUUAGAACUAAUGAACGUAUUAAUCGACACAAUAAGUGAAAAACUAAUAAUUUUAUCCUUAUUAAAUGUACACUUUUUCGUGUCAAUCACUAACCCCCCAGAAUGAAACCUAUGCAAUGAUUCCUAGAUUUGUAGGUCCCCCAAGAUUCUGAUUCCGGUUCCAACUCUAAUUUUGUGAAGUAAAUAUUGUCAAUGAUUUUAAUUCUAGAUUUCGAUUUCUCAAUUCAAGAACUAAACACACCCUAAAAGUUUCUUAAUUAAUUAUACAUCUGAAUCCCCUCAUUCUUUUACUAUUAAGUCACGUAAUAUUGUCACUUACAUCAAUUGAAGAAUUGUACCUAACAACCUAAUGAUGUGUUUACUAAACUGAAAUCGAAAUGUGCUAGAAUCGAAAUGGACAGGAAUGGAAAUGAGUUGAAAUAGGGAUAAAAAAUGAGAAUUAGAAUAAAUUGUUUACUUGAAUUAUAGGAAUCGGAGUCGGAAUGAAUUAGAUUUUACAAAUUACAAAAACAUCCUUAAUAAUAAUGACAAUAAUAUUAAUUAAAACAAUAAAAUUAAUAAAUAAAUAAAUAAUAAUAGAGGUAGUAGUAAUAAAAAAUAAUGAAAUUAAUAAUAACAAAUUUUAAUAAUGAUAAAAUUAAUAAAAUAAUAAUAACAAUAGUUAAUAAAAAUUAAAAUAAUUAAAAUAAUAAACUUAAUAUAUUUUAAGAAUAGUAAUGACAAUUACAAUAAUAAAUAAUGAAUACAUUAAUAAAAAUUAAAUAAAUUUUAACAAUGUUAAUAUUAAUAAAAUAAUAAAAUAAAUAAAUUUGAAUAAAAUAUUAUUAAAGUAAUAAUAAUGACAUCAUCAUUUUUGUUACUAUUACUACUGUUAUUAUUUAAUAAUGAUAAUAUUAAUAAAAUAAUAUUAUAACAAUAACAAUAGUUAUAACAAUUCAGAUAAUAAAUUUGAAUAAAAUAAUAUUAUAAUUAUAAUAAUAAAAUUAAAAAAAUGAAUAAAUUAAUAAAAAUUAACAAAUUUUAACAAUGUUAAUGUUAAUAAAAUAAAUAAUUUUGAAUGAAAUUAUACUAAAACAAUGAUAAUGGCAUUAUUAUUAUAAUUAAUAGUAGUGUUAUAAUAAUAAUAUAUUAUUAUUGAAGGGGGUAUUUUGGGAAUAUUGAAAUAUAAAUGAGGGUAGAAUUGGAAGUUUGGCAGACUCAUUCCCAACUCCCCAGGAAUCAAUCUCCCACUCCCCAUUUCCAAAUUGUGGUGGGCCCUGUGAUUCUGAUUCCGAUUCCAAUUCCCGCUAUUUUGUGAAGUAAACGCCUUCAAUAAUUCUAAUUCCGGAUUUAUAUUCCCUAAUCUUGAAAGUGAACUCACCAUAAAAGCAUUUAAGAAUUGGGUUAAUUUCGUGUUACCCUCUAGUGAAGUGACAAUCUUCAAACUACCCCCUUAUUAUUAAAAAUAUUAAUCUACUCCUAAAACUCGUUACUUUAACCAUUGAUUGUCGUUGACUCAUAAAAGUACGAAAGUAUCCACACCCUAAUAAAAUAUUCUUGUAACGGCUUUGUAAGGUCAACAAAAAUAAUUGAUAUAUGUUAAGUCAUUGAAAAUGUGAAAAGUUAACUAUUAAAAUAUUAAUAUGUAAAUAGUGAAUAAAUGAUUAAAAAAAUGUGGAAAUGACUUUAUGGGCCUAAAAAGUAAUUAGUUUCCCUGAAUUAGACAUAUUAGUUAGGGAAAUUACAAGUUAUGCCAUCGUAUGCAAAUUAUAAUAAAUGGCAUAAAAUUUUACACGUGUCUAACUAGUUCAAAAUUCAAAUUGACUGUGCAUAGCAUUGCUUCAUAAAUUUACAAAGACCUUUGUACACAACACACAAGGCCCAAAGCACCGAAAUCCAGCUAUUGGUGCAAACGCUUCAAUGAAGCAGUGAGAAUGUCAUCCUCUAGGGGAAGCUCCAACAACUUUUUUUAUAAAUAUAAAGAAGAGAAGUUGCAAGUGAACGGCAAGGUCAUCAAGUUUAGAAACAAAUUGUGUACUGAUUAUGGCGAACGAGUCACAAUCAAAAUUUCUGAAUAUGCUACAAAUCCUAAGAUGCUUUAUUACAAAUGUAAAAGGCCGUGCUACGAUUACUUUAGGUGGUGGGAACCAUCUAACUUUGAGUACAAGGUAAUUACAAGAGGGUUGGGUAAGUUGUAAGAUGAAGAAGAGAACCAAACUUUCCAUCAUAAAAAUAAGAAGUUCACAACAAUGACCACCAAGCUUGUUGCAAAAUUAGACAAGAUGAAGAGCUUGUUGUAUACCAUAAUCAUAAUGCAACUACUAUGUAUUACGUACAUUAAUGAUCUUCGGUAGAAAAUAGAUAAAUAGGAUGACUACAAGGCUUAAAUAAUAGAGUUAAAUAAGUAAAGCACGAACAUAAGUAAUAAAAAUGAUGUAUUUCCUUAUCAAAAGCUAUAGUUCAUUACAUUAAUAGUACAUGAGUUGUUGUACAUGAGCUCUUGCACAUAAAGUAAUAAAAAUGAUGUAUUUCAUUAUCAAAAGAUGUAGUUCAUUACAUUGAUAGUGCUGUUGUUCCUUUAUAUAUGUAGGUUGCAAUGAAUAUUUCACAAAAAAAUCAGGUGAAUGUCUGUACAUUUCUAUUGUUGUUUCUCAUACCUUUGUCUAAAAUAUGAAUUGCAACACACCCAAAAUAUAAGCUAAAUUUCCUGCUUUCCAACUGUUAUAUUCAUUCAUUGCCAUAAUACACUAUCAUAUAUAUAAAGUUACACAAAAUGACCAGCAUAAUUUAUUGGUAGUGAAUAUGUAAUUAAUGAAUGAAUGAUACUGCCCUAUGCCUUUAUCUGCAUCAUACUCUGCAAUAAAACCCAGCAACAAUACUUUACAAACAAUUUAACACAAUUCAUGAAAUUUAAUACUAUCAUUGCAAGGCAUUUGAACCCAACAAAAUAUUGAACAACUUAUAGCAAAUAUGAAGAACUGAUUUGCCCUUUGGAUCUCCCUUUGUCUUUGUUGCAGGAUGGGCUGAUCAUGAAGUGCCUCUUAAACUAGCUAUUUCUUUUAUAAUUUGAAUUCUUUUUGUAGGUGGUGUUCCAAAUGCAGCUUCUAAUGUUUGUCCAACUGGUUGUUUGUUUGCUAAACCCCUUGCUGGCACUUAUAUUUUGACCAGCAAACACAACACAUUCAUGAACAUGUAUUGUAGAAACUUAUAGCACGUGUUUGUAACAAAUUGUAAGUGUAGAAAAUUUCAACUGACAAUAGAGCUUCAAUUUACACUAUAAAAGCCUCUAAAGUAUGUCAACUAACAUGAUUCAAAAAACAAACAUGCUUCUAAACUUAAUCAUCAAGCAAAUACCAUAACUGACUCUUAAAUAAAAUGAAGAUUAACAAACUUGAACCAAAAUUAAAUAAGAGUAGUGAAUAACUCAAAACUAAAGUUAUAACAGUUGCUACACUAAUUUUAAACAAAGCUACUCAUGUCACAUUGACAUUACACCUACGCUAAAAUAUAUUAAAAACUACCUUAUAUUGAUAAACAAACAAAAUCAGUAACUUCAUCUUCUAGAUAUUAAACAUAUGUUAUGCCUUUGAAUAUAAAUGUUAAACAAACCUGAUACAGCGUGAGCACUCCUGCAACAGUAGAUGGUUCUGUUGGUGUUGCUGCUGGUGUCGGUGUGGGUGUUGUACUUAAUGGGGUAGCAAAACCUCUUGGCUGUGCAGGUGUGUUUGUCUUUGGCCUUGAGGCAAAAACAUUCAUUCCUAGAUAUGAUGCACCAGAGCUUGAAGCUGCCACUAAGGUCUUCGAUGCGUCUAAAUUUCACGAAUGUAAUAAAAUGUCAUUAGUCGAUAAUAACAGCUGGUUAUAAUUGGGUAAAAAACAUAAAUUUAUCAGCCAAGUCAAAGUAUAAGCUUUACCAUCAUUGUUCUAGUUUUCUUGCUUGCAUUGGCUGGAUUAUGAGGACAACAUCUUAUAUUUUGGCCGAUGCCUCUGUAGUAUGUGCAUGAAACUGUGAAUUUUCUCUUGUAGGAUAGCACUUCACUAGCCUCCCUUCUUCCAUAAGUCUUGGGCCUGCCUGGUGGUCUUGAUAUAUUUGGGGGUAAAAUUUCAUUGGCCUCUAUGUGUGGCCACUUAGACUUAUCUGGCAAAUAAUGAAUGAUGUCUGCAUAACAUUUUAGAUAAGCUUUUUUUGUAAGCAAGCAACAAUAUAUGGCUCAUAAGUAGCCCUUAAAUGAGCAAUACAAGGCAUCGCAUGACUGCAUGGUAGACCACUAAUUUGUCACAACCUACAAUCACAUGUAUACUCCUCUAAAUUAACCAUAUAUGAUUUCUUAUUAUUAGCCAUAUAAGACUUGCUAGUAUCCUUGACUUCAAACAGCGCCUCAUUUGUUGGUAUAACAUGACAAAAUCUUUCAGCCUUGAGGAAUUUGUUCAUCUUCUUAUUGAUGUAAAAAGGAACUUCAGUGUCCAUUCUUGAAAUUCUAGCUUUCUUUCUAUGAUUCAUUAUAUCAUCUUCUUCCUUAUAUGCUCCAUCAUGGUGAUUAUUGAUGCCUUUCUUAUAUCUUCAAGCCAUGCAUUCUAACUAUUAGUUAUGUUUUUUGUUGUAUGAUCACAUUUGACUGAUUUAUCAAAAGCAUGAAUUGACCAAUAUUUUGGGUUAAUUUUCCUUAGCCAAUCGAAAACAUCUACAUCGACCGUCAUUAUAUUGCUCAUUGCUUCCAUAAAAUCAUCCUUAUUUGCGGCUUUGAUUGCUUUCCAGUACUCGUCUCUCAACUGUACAUCGGGAAACAUUUGUGUUAGGUUGGAAAAUACAUGCCUCGCAUAGUACCUGUUAAGGAAAAAAGAAUUGAAAAUGUUAAUUUUGGGCUACCCCAAGGAAAUGACAACUUCAAAUUGCCCCCCUCAAGUUUUAACACAAUCAAGUUAACCUCAUAUCACUUCGAUCACAGUUUAUUAGAUUAUCAUACAAAGCUAUAAAUGUGCAGAAAAUUAAAGUGUAUAAUACAUCAAUAAAAGUAAAAAUUACAUUGUUUUUAAGAUUGCACGCACCUAUUUUAUGAUCCGUAAAACUCCAAGUUUAAAGCAUUAAAUGCACAUUUUUGUCUAUCUGUCAUGAAGGUUAACUCUCUUGAAUCAGCCGAGUACUCUUUCAAAUGCCCCAGAAACCAUGUCCAACUAUCAGUGUUCUCAGAUUCACAUACACAUACGGCCAAUGGAAAGAUCCAUUGGUUUGCAUCAAGUGCAAUUGUUGAUAACAGGACACCUUCGAAUGACAUCCAUUAAGACUAAUAAAUGGUCUGCAACCCGCCUUGAAACCAUUUUUAAGCCUUGGGAAACUAAUAAUGAACCUUUGAAACCUACACUUGCCUGCAAUGGUGCCUGAUUUUGUAACUUUAAGUAUUGGUAGUGCACCUGACAUAUGUUGUUUUAUUAUGUGAACAUAGUCCCAAAGGUCCUUAAAGCUCUGAAAUGGUCUCUACCAACUGCUAACUCAAAAAUUUUUCUUUUGGCCUUAUAAGCUUUCUAUGCACUGACCUCAACUCCAUACAUCUACUUGAUGUCAAUGAUCAUAUUUUUCAUAAAAAAUGAAGAAUCAACAAUGAUUUUCUUUUGGUACUUCCUGACAAGCUAAACAGUUGUUGCCUCUAGAUUUUUCGCAAUCCUCUGACAUGUAUAAGCAUUAUGAAAACUUUUAUUUUGGAAGCAUUCACCGUGUCUCUGCAAUGAAGCAUAUACCUUGAAAGAAUACUUAGAUGCAUAACAAUGACAUAGUAUUCACCUUCUUUUAAAUUUCACUCUUCUACCUAAAAAACUUUUUUUAAUAUAAAAAUCUUGAAGAGCUCAUGCAAAAGACUUCAUGUGUUUAAAAACUAUUCCAGCCCUAAACUCCAUUGGAUCUAUACCGUACUCAAACAUUUGAUCCCCCCCAAUACAUAAGACAUUGCAAGUAAUGGAUGCUCAUCAUUUGAUGAUUGUAUUAGACCGAAAUUAGCAUUAUCACUUUCAUAACCCUGUAACAAGCCAUUAUUGUUAUCAUUGCCAUCAUCAUCAUCCAAUUUACCACUGUUGUCGUGUUUUGCUUCUUCAUUAUUAGCAUCAUUAUCUAAAUCAGACCAUAAAUGAAACUCGUCUUCAACAUGAGAAAGGCAAAUCAUCCAUUGUUGUCUGUGUUGAAGGACCAGCACCUGAUGAAUUUCUAGUUCGCCUUGUCUUUCUUAGCUUAGGCCUGGUUUGAACAAACUCACUAUCUAUAGAAUUUAAUUUUCUUUUCUUCUUACUUCUCUUCGAAGGCUUAACAUGUACAUGUUGUUUCUUCUGCCUCCACUGUGCAAUCCUUUGAGAAGCCCUUAUCUGGAAAGAAGUAGAUUUUCUUUUAUUGGCACGCAAAUGAGAUGGCUACAAUUUACCACUUCUCCCCUUUACCGUAUUUGACUCCUUUAUAAUUGUCUCAGAUUGUUCGACUUGGUCAACUUGAGUUGGAAAUUCAAGCUGCAAUGUAGGUUCGUGAUUAAGAGUUUGUGGUGUUUGUUCUGGUGGUAUUAACUGCACAUGUUCAAUCAUUGGCUGGAAAUAUGUUGAUGUAGCAAGAGGUACUGGUACUGUGGUAAGUUUUGAGACGAAUUAACCCUCUGUGAAUUAUUGUCUUAAAAAAUUUGAGACAAUAAUAGAUUUAUUUAAUUGCACCCAACCCAAGGUCAUCAUCAUCAUUUUCAUCCCCCAAUAAAACAUUAUAGAGAUCAUUAGUCACAUCAUAUCUUUCUCUGGUUUAGAUGUAUGAGUAGUUGCAUGUACUGAUGUUUGGUCAAUUUUGGGUUAACUGUUGGAGUAGGCAAUGAAGUUUGGUCAUAAUCUGGGUGUGUGUUAUUAAAAUCACUGCCAAACUUUGUUGUCAGCUGAUCUUGUUUUAUAUUCGAUUUCAUUGGUGUCAUAAUCUUUUGAAGAACCUGUUCUAUGGUUAAUACAUUGUCACUUGGCAUAUGUUGUUCAACUUCAUGUUUAGGUGCUGUUUUAGAUUAAUGUAUUGACUCAUGUGCAGAUGGUAAUGGAAUGACCUGUUCAGGAGUGGGGGUAGAUGGACUAAGACGAUCGGAUCCAGGGCCAGGAGUAGGUCUCUUGCCUUUUCUUCUAUUCCUUGAAACACUCUUAAUAUUUCUACUACUAGUCUUACCAGGUGGUGGUUCAGUAGGUAAUGGUGCUUUUACGGCGAUAAUCUAAAUAUCAUAAUCAAAUAUUCUUUUUUGACCCACAUACAUCACAUUCAACGGUAGCACCUCCAUAUAUAAGUCAAUCUUUGUGUACUUCUUUUCGUUAAACAACUGCCAUACCUUAUAUAUUUCAUAAUCAUUCUUUAUUACUCAUUUUUUUUCCAUUUCAGGGCAAUGUAACCUCAAGCACAAACCUCUCACGGGGCCAACUGCUUCUCCUAAAAACUUGUCUCAUUGCACCAUUGAUAACUAUCACUCUACUUAAAUAAUCAGGAUCUAUAAGGCCAAUAUCCCACGUUACACCCAUAAAGUUAACAAAAGUUGACAUCUUGAAUUCUUUUUCCUAUAUAUCACAAUAUAAAGACAAGUUUCAAAAUCCACAAUCAACACAUACUAUUGCCAGUCGUAUAUAAUGUCAUUACGCAAAUCAUUUGUUACAACUGUUAAGAUUAGUCAAUAAUAAGGACAAUGAAAUAGAAAAAUCAACCCACUUAAAUUCCAAAAUCAUUGCUUGAACUAAGUGGCUCACAGCCAUAACCAGUAACUUACAUUGUUCAUCAAAACCAACAAAAAUAAUAGAAAUCUUGGUUUGCAUCUGUGGUUUUCAAUUUUCUUAAGUACAGAAACAAGGAAAAAAUUCCUAUGUUUUUUACUACAAACAAAAAUCUCCAAAUUUAUAAAAACCCAGGGUUUCCAAUAAUGUUUCAAAAUCAAUGAUUAACACUUUGAUACAAUUUCAUUAACCUAUCAUUAUCAUACCAAGAAAUAACAUAAGUACAUAUAUAUAGUCCUAAACAAAAGAUAAUAGUAAAAUGUUAAAAAAGUUCCUUUUUUUCUCACCUCAGCUAUCGAACGAGGCUGUUCAGACUGAGAUUCUCCAUUGCUACUACCUGAGUUCAUCUUGCUCCUUCCAAUUUCAUCCUUAUAGUUUGUUCAGUGCUGCUCUGUUUUUUGGCCUGAGUGAAGUCUUGCACGUUAUGACUGUAUGCACAAACGCUUCACUUUACUUUGGCACGAAAGCAAAGCUUUCGUUUUUUGUAUCACACCAUGUAUUUUUUUACUUAUUGUUUUAUUUUUUUAACAUUUACACCACACAGUAAAACGAGGUUUGGUUAAAAGUAGUGAUUGAUUUCAUGUUUCCUACAUAUGCAUCACGUGUCCCUGUGCUUAAUGAUCGUUACAGAUUUGUAUAAGUAUCAUCUUAUCCUUUAUACCAUUUAAAUUAAUAGAGAGAUAACAAGUUUUGAGAAGUAGAUUGAUGUUUUCAAUAGUAAAAGGGGUAAUUGAAGAUUGUCACUUCAUAAGGGGGGUAACACAAAAUUAACCCUUAACAAUUAAACUACACUUAAUUUGUUUGAUAUAACUUUUAAGUUGAUGUAACAAGAUCCAGUACAUUGGAGGAGGACAAAGAAAGCUACCUUGAGUUGUAGUCCGAGUAAUCUUAGAUAGAAAAUUUUAUUUCAAGUCCUUUUUUAAAUUAUCAGGAUUUUUUAAUGAUCUAAACUUUUACCGAGUACAAAUUUAUAUGGUAAUUGGUGGUUAAUAAAUAAAAGAAUAAAGAAGUUAAAUCCUAAAUGCACUUGGAGCAUCAUCUUUAAAAAUUCAUGAGAGAAUCAUAGUUCUAAUUUAAUAGAUAUAGAUCUAAUAAAUGAUCACUUAAACUAUUAAAAUAAACAGAUAAACUAGAUGACAUGAAAAACACUCUCUAAUACAAUAUAUUUUAUCUUGUCUAGCAUUACUUAUAUAUAUGGUGCGGGCGUCCAAUUUUUUGUUUUAUUUUUUUAAUGCAGACACAUUGUUAAACUGUGCAAUUUAAUAGUCUGUUAGUAUGAAAAAAUGAAGACAUCCGCACUAAAAAAAGACUCAUGUGUGCGUAUGUAUUCUUCAGAGCAGGCGCUCUCUUUUUUUUUUUUAUGCGAACAUGUUAUAAAUCAUAUGAUUUAAUAGUAUGUCUGAACUUACUCGAUUUAACCAUAUACCUUAAUAAUUUGUCCACAUGAAAAAAAAAAAAAAAUGAGGUCACCUACAUUACGUAAAGACCAUGUGUGUCUAUAUGUGCGCACAUGUGUGCAUCUGCUUGCAUGUAUGUGUGUAUGCAUGCGUGUGGGUGUGCGUAUGCGUGCGUAUGUGUGGGUGUGUAUAUGCAUGUUUGUGGGUGUGUAUAAGCGUGUGUGUGUGUGUGCGCGCGUGUGAAUAUGUGCGCGCACGUUAAGAACAAAGACAAGCUUAAAGACAAAAAACCAACACACCCCAAUAUAGUGUAUUUUAUUUAGUAGUACAUUAAAAUCUAUAUAAAUAUUUCUUACUUUAUUCAUUACCUUAUUGAAUAAAGUAAGAUAUAUAUAUAUGACAGUAAUCCGAUCCGGGAGUCCACCAGGGGCUGUUGGAUUUCAAUCCAGCGGCCGCUGGUGGCUUCUUCUUUUUUUUUUUUUUUUUUGCGGGCUGCACGUGGUGGACUAGGCUUUGUCCCGGAAACUAUUCCAAUUCGGGACUCAAUCCAGCGGCCGCUGGUGGCUUCUUCUUUUUUUUUUUUUUUUUGCGGGCUGCACGUGGUGGACUAGGCUUUGUCCCGGAAACUAUUCCAAUUCGGGACUACCUGGAUUGGAAUAUAUAUAUGCCUUAGUGUUCUUCCAACCCCUUAUCGGUUUUUUAUUUUAUUUUAUUUUUUAUGGGUCAAUGUCUCUUAAUAGUUCCUAAUUAUUAUCUACAAAUCUUAUAAAUAAAGAAUUUAUCAUUAGUUUUUAGUUCGUUAAUUAGAUUUUUCUCAUUUAAUCAACCAAAACAUCGAAAACAUCUUGCAUUAGCAAUAUUUCUUCAUGUAUUUUUUUAAAUUCAAGUAAUUAACAAUUCACUUACAUAUAGUUUUUUUUUUUUUUUUUUGAUUCGAUUCACUUACAUAUAGUUGAAUAUAUGAAUGCGUAAUCUUUUAUUAGAAAAAUAUUUCAGAUCAGCCCGGAAUCAAAUUAGUUCCCAGCUACGCUACUGCUCAAAUCAUGCAAUAUGCAUCUUGUCUUAAUAUUCUAUUUAUGAAGGUCGCGUUACAAUAAUUGACAAUAUCGUACUCUAGAAGUCCAUGAAAAAUUUGAUCUUCGUAUGCUACUACAUGAAGAACAAGAAGAGAUUCGAUAAAUACACCCCCAAUCCCCGAGAACAACAUGAAUUAAAAAAAUUAAAAAUUAUCAAAUUUAAUAAACAAGAAUUAAAAAUCCAAAUUCCUUCAUUUCCACACCCCCUCAACCGAAAAAAAAAAACUUUUUUUGAAUCUACUUUUGAAUAUUGCAUAGUGUUGAUUAAAAAAGAUUUAAAAACGAAGAAAACAAAAAACAAAAUCUGCCGGUGGCUGGCAAGAAUUCACGUACGGCCAAAGAAGGGUCAAUGCCUUUAGCCCUACAAUAGGAAGUUAAAUUUGGCAUUGCUGUCACGAUAAAAUUUCAUGAUAUUGACUUCGCAUCGCAUAUUUCAAUUUCAGAAAGAAAUAAAAGUUCCAAAUUAAAAGAAAAAUCAGCCAAAUAUUAUGAAAAAGGCAAUUUGUGUGUCUAACCCUUAUCAAAGUCGACGAGACUUUAAUUUUCACCUUUUAUUGUAUCCUAUAGCGGUUACAGAUGAUUUAGACUGUACUUCAGGUUGAAAGAGAGAAAUCGGCUGCUUUUAAUGUUGCAGAAGAGAACAAAAACAACAAAAGAGAGUGACAGGGUUGACAAAUGAGGUUCCUCAUCAUUGAGAUUUAAUGUCACAGGGCUCUAAAAAAUUUCAGCAAUGAAACGUGUUAACUCAUGCUACUACCUGCACAAAUGCCAACUCAAGAAGAAGCAGGGGAUACAAAUGGAAGAAAAACAAGUAUUUUGGGAUGGUUAACCUGUUUCUGCUCAUCUGCCAAACAUUUCACCAAAAAAGCAUUUGAAAAAACUGUAACUUUGCUAACAAAGCAAACUUUCCUCUGUCUGGACCAAUACCUGAAUUUCAAAGCAAAAGAGAGUUAACAAGAAAGAACAAUGUCCUACACAGAUGAAUAAAUAAAUUUUUUUGCUAAUGUUUUUUUGUUAAGAGGAAUGCCCUCCCUUCAAUAAUCUUUUAGCAAAAUGGAUUGAUCUGCGUAUGGCUAUCAUCCAUCAAUGAUGUUCUAAUGUGAUACAAAAAUCAAGAUUUUAAUAGAUAUAAAUUAAUAUUGGGUAUUAUAUCUGAAGUCAAUUUUGUUUAACUAAGUUUAUAAAUACUGAGAGAGAUUGAAAAUGCAGUUAAAUACAAGAAGAAAACGCUAGAAUUCUAAAACAUCAUCUCUAUAAACAAUAUGGAAUUGGGAAAAAGAACAAAACAAUUUGUCCAUAACUAUUUGAAAUUCAGAGAGCACAAUUUCAAAUGGGAUGAAUUUCCAUUCAUGGUUUUUUCUGUAUCUGUCUCCUUUAAUCUCUCUGAAUGGUAUAGCAUUCCAUUAUGACACAUGCUGUUAUCUAUUCCAAAGGCAUUUGGAAGAUUAUGACAGACCGAAUUUUUCCAAUUCUCGUAAGAUUUGAAAGAUUCGUUCUCUAAUUCUGGUCCUUCUACUUGUUUGUCAACUCAUUGAAAGUCUGUUUCUUCAAGAGAACUUAUAUAUAUUUGUCAGUGAUAGCUACCAAACAACAAACUUUGAAUUCAAGGAUGCUAAAAAAUAUCACAAACUAAAGAAAGGAGAAGAAGAACAAAAGAAAUGAAAAUACCUUGAAUACAAAACCAAUGUUAAGUUCGUCAACUGUUAACAACUUUCUGCGGCUGUCUUUUCUGCAAAAGGCAUCCAAAUCGAUCAGAUAUACCAGUGUGAUGCCCAAUAAAACAGAGGGACAAUUUUUAUUUGUUAUUUUUAUUUUUUUUUUAAAAAAAAGGGUAUUUCAAAGUCCAAAAUCAUGAAGCAUUUCUGUAAAUGCAGCUUCUUUAAUCCAAAAAAAUUAUUCAACCUAUGCAUAAAAAAGACCUGCAUCAUUAGUCCUUGCUUAUAACAAUUUGGCAUGCAAAAUUUAGGAUUCUAAAUUCCUCAGUAGAAUGAGCUAUUGAUACAAGCAUGAGAAAACAGGAGCAGGGAUUGUUCAGUUUGAAGAUCAAGAGUUCAUUUGCAAUCAGAGUACUUGUUAAGGGUACUUCUAUACAAAGGGCCAACACUGUAUUUAUGAUUUUCUAGGAUAAAAGGUAUUUUAAUGUCAAGUCUAAGUUGAUACAUUAAGCUCCUGACUUAUUUUUUUCAAUCUAAGAUUAAUUAUUUUACUAGAUUAAUUAUUCUUAAUCUUUGGAUAAGAAUGACUCGAGUCUAUAUAUAUCUUCCCUAGUCUGAAAAUUACAAGAGUAAGUACUGAAACUUGUUUAUGUAGCUAUAUAGUCGUCUUCAUGUGCUCCAUCUUUCUUACUCUUUUCCCCUCACAUAUAUAAUCUACUUAAACAGGAAAAAUGAAAAUCACUCCAGUUGGUAUUACCAAUAGCUGCACAUAUUAAAUUUAUUGAUAACAGUAAGAUUCGAUGAAUUCAAAUAUAAAACGUUGUAAGAGAGAAUUAAAUUAUGAAUCCUCUGCAGAAUACUACCAUGCAGCAAACCCACUGACAGCAAUCGAUCAAUGAUAUCAACACGCUGUUGUAUGGAUUUCAAAAGUGAAUUCAAUGAUGAAACCCUCUUUCUAACCCCCGAAAUCUUCGCCGCAUAUUGCAUAAUAAAGGGCAAUGGUGCAUCUUCCAGUAGUUGAUCAAGCUCUGUCAACAACACACACAACAAACAUAAAAAAUAAAUUACAUAAUAGUAAUGGUAAUGGCAGUAAUAAUAACAAUAAUAAUAAGGUAAAAAGGACAGGCACCACUCGUGCUUUGAUGAAAUGGUCAAGGGUCUCCAUGACUACUUCUGAAGGAUCUCCAUGACCAUUUCACCAAAAACACGAUUGCAUGUACAAUCUGUAAAAAAAUUGAAAUUAUAAAUAAUAAUAAUAAUAAUUCAUGUUAAAAAAGAAUAAGUCCAAAUAAAAUACAGUUGGUAACUAAAGUCAGAAGCCAUGAAAGAGGUCUACGUCACACUUUCUCAAAUCAAUAAGUCUCCAUGACAAUUUCACCAAACCACAGGGUGCUGCUGCUAUCAUUUUUCAUAAUACUAAUAAUAAUGAUAGUAAGAGAGCGAAGGUUAAUAAAACGACCUCCUGUAAGACGAUCGAUGGCGGAAGCGAGCUGGUCCUGGGAUUGAAGAGUGUCUUGAGCUUUUGAAUCAAAAUCCUUGAUAACGGCUGUCAACAUUGACGAUAAAGCUAUGGCCAAGGCGUCACUGCUUUUAUUAUCAGACUCGGAUUCUUGAGGAUUUUCAGGGGUCUCGUUACUGGAAGAAGGAUUCGUGCUUACUCGAACUGGAACAGUGGUUCCUUCGCCGGAAUUGCAGUUGUUUUGCGACGCUUCGUCCAUCUUUUUCUGAUAUUGCGAUUCUGCUGGAUGAUGAUGAAGAAGAUUGUUAAUCAUUUAAUGGGCUAUAAAUUGGGCCGUUGAACCCAAAACCACAUUUAAUGCUUGGGCCGCUUCCGAUAAACUCUACUUAGUUUAGCCAACAACUAUCUUCUGGCAUCCCUCAAAAUUUCUGGAAAAAACCUUUUUUGUAAUUGAAAUUACUUAAAUAAUCUACUACUACUACUAUUAUUAUUAUUAUUAUUAUUAUUAUUAUUAUUAUUAUUCAUAACAAUAAUUGGGACUUAUAAACAUAGAUACCAAACAUUAUAAAGCCCUCUGGUCUAGAUACCAUAUAAGUCUUUAGAGGGCUAGAGAACCUUAUUAACAAACUUAUCUUGUAGGGAAAAGCUCAGGACCAAAAAACACAUCACCUCCAUCAAUGUUAAAAAACAUUUGUACACGUGAGCAUGUCAAAUGCCCACAUAUGUCGCAACAUAUACUUCAAAAAAAAAAGUAGUAAUAUUCACAUAAAACUUAGUACUAAAGCUAAGUAUAAAAAGGGCCUAUCUGCUAGAUUUGCUAAAACUUCUUAAAAAUUGUAAAAAUUGUGCCGCACUUAAAGAUGUAUGCUUCUAAGCUUCUCCUACUAAUCCUAUAAUUAUUUGAAUUUGGAUUCCAGUAAUUGGGAUUCCUAUCUGCUAGAUUUGCUAAAAUUUCUUAAAAAUUGUAAAAAUUGUGCUGCCCUUAAAGACGUAUGCUUCUAAGUUUCUCCUACUAAUCCCAUAAUUAUUUGAAUUUGGAUUCUAGUAAUUGGGAUUCCUUUAUGCAUUACUUUAUAUUUAUUUUUAAAAUAAUCUAAUACUUUUACUAAGGUGGCGUUUGUUUUUUUGUCUGAAAUCUGAAUAGACCUGAAUUAGUCUGAAUUCUGAAUAGGUCUGAAUGUCUGAAUCUGAAUAAUAUGUUUGUUUUUUCGUCUGAAUCUCAGAAAAUAAGUAUUAAGUUGUUUGUUUUUUUCAACUUAAAAAGCUGAAAAUAUGUACUUUUACAUUUGUAUCCUUAUUAAAUUUGAAUGUCAAAUAAAUAAUAUAUUAAAUACCACAAUAUUUAACAUUUAUAAGUAAAACUAUAUUCAAGUGAAUACAUAAUUAUUUUAGAAUUUUAAUAUAUAAAAUACCAUAAAUUUCAAAUUUUAUCGUAUAUAACAUAAGAAAGAAAAAACAUGGAUAUUUUUAUGUGGGGCAAAUAUCUAUGGGUGAGUUUUGGGAUAGACAUGAAAAAUAAAUUAUAAAAUAGGGAUAUUUUUUACAUUAGUAAGUAAUUGACUUAAUCCAGAUUUCUCCAUUAAGUAAAAAGCCAAAAAAAUUAGCAUAUUUUAUUAAGUCAAAAUUAUCUAAAAAGUCUCAUUAAGUUAUAAAAACAAACACCUCUAAUUAACUUAAUUAAUUAAGUUAAGUCACUUUAAGUCAUUAAGUUAAAAAACAAACGCCACCUAACUCUUAUCUACUAAGUUGCGGACAAUUGAAUGUAAAUAAUGCUAGAGAUAGACUAUUGUAAUACUUCUACUAAUAACUUCUUUUGUAUUAAUUAUUUUGGAUUGGUGUUUUCUAUACUAUUUCCUAUAUUAUAUCUUUGAUUAAAUGCUACUUCUAUUCUCCUGUUAGCAAUAAUUUAAAGUUAAAUAUUAUAAUCUAUAUACCCUAUUACCGCUAGUCUUCCUAAAUUAUCUACCUUCUAAAUAUAAUCACUAAAUGCUUCAAUAGAACAAUGUUGUAAAGUAAAACAAGUGUAAUUAUCUAAUGGCGUGCAAGUUAAAUUUCUGAUUAAAAAAUCUAAUAAACAAUUGUUCUUCUUCUUUUGAUACUUUGAGAUUCUUUUAUAAACUUCUGUCAAAUUGAUUGGGUAAUAAAGUGUUUUAUUUCAAAUACUAACUAAAAUUAGUAUCCUUUUUUUUUUUUGGAUUUCUAAAAAUUGUUUUCCAAAUGUUUAGAGUAAAAAAUCAAACUUUUUGAUUAAAACUCAAAUUAAAAAAAAAAAAAAAACCUUUGUAAGGGCAUAAAAAUCCCAAUAUAAAGCCUCCAUUCUUUCGUAAAAUGCCUAUUUUUUAGUUAAAUUGUACUUAUGAGUAAAAUUGGACACUCAGAUAUCCUUCUUCAAGACUUUGGGUUUUUCUAGAAACCUAAGUUUUACUCCAGAGUUUGAUUUUAUUUUAGAUAAAAAAAUAUUUGUUACGAGCAAAUAAAAAAUAGUUGAUUUAUAAUGAAAGAUCUGCAGCUUGUUCAUUUACAAACAUAUAGAAGUCUACAAGAGACCGAGUUCUCUAUUAGAGAAGAACCAAAUAACUUGGCUACAAUACAUUAUGCUGAAUAAAAUAACUCUUUUGAAAUAACUUCUAAAUACAAAGGGAAAUUGAACAAAGCUUAAAAGCUUUAACAAACUGAAGUUUGCAAUAAGAUGAUUCUUUAUAUUUAUCUUUCCUGAUCUGGUCGAUCUUAUGAAUCUUCUUGUGUAAGACAAAAGAAGAGUCUUCUUAUUUAUAGAGCUCUUCUUAGUUGCUUAUUCUUAUCUUUUAUUGCUUUCUUAUCUUCUGCUUUCUACGUGUGUGGAUUAAAACACUUCUUUAAUCUUCACGUGACUAAAGAGAGUAUCGGCAGAAUAAUCACUGCAGCGUUUCCUCUUUUUAAAGUUGUGCUUUAAAAACGGUAGUGAGUAAAGGGUAAUUAAUUAGGGAGUAAACCACUGCUUAGUCGUGGUUCUAGCAUGUUAUCAAGGUUGUAGGCCCCAACAUCAUCUAGAUUGCCGUAGAAUUCUCUACCAUCGUCAUUUACUUCUUCACCCGAUUUCUCUUCAAUGAGAGAUUUGCAUGCCAUGAUAUCUUCUUCAUACUGUUCAUGGUAGAAAUCUACAAGCUGAUUAGUUGUGGUUCUGGACAAAAAAAAGGGACUUCGAGCAUAUUCUAAUGAGAAUAAUUUUUUUUUAUUAAAGUCUUUAGCAAUCAACUUAAGAUGAUCAAUGACUUCUCUAAUCUCAAAUUUCCUUGCUAUUAUUCUGUUUUCUUAAUGUCUAAUAUGCUUAGUUAAGGUGUUAGUGGUGCAGAUCCAAGAUAUGGUUGAACUUCUAAGCUCUAAUGGUGUUAGAUCGCUUGAAAAAAAUAGAAUGUUGAUCUUAAAACUCAUAAUAUACAUUUUCUUGAAUCUCUAUUAUGGUGCAUUUGAUUGGAUAUAAGCCACCACGAACUAUUUUCCAAAUGCCAUUAAGAGAAGCAUGGUUGAUGUUAACUUUCAUUCAAAUUCAUUUCUUUAGUCUCAGUCUCAAACAAUAACUUGAUUAGGAAAACCAAAAUCUAAUAAUAACUGUGGAGUUAAUAUUAGCAAUUUAUCUCUAAAUUUUAAUUCUAUUGGUUUAUAUAAUCGCAGAUCAAUGCUGACUCUUGUAAUAAUAUAGGUGACUCUCCCAUUUGAUUAGAAAUCUGGAAGUUUGUGUGCAAACUCUAGGGUUCACAACUGUGUUUGGCAUGGUCUUGGAGAAAUCUUUGAAUGAACUCCAUCUUAUCAUUUUGCAUUUUGGAAAAAUGUUCUUUAAUGAUAGUCGGCCAUGGUAGGGAAGCUUUGAAAGUUCCAUAUGUGUAAAAAAAAAAAGGUUCUAUUUUCUCUAAUUUUUAGCUCACAUGGGUUCAAUAUUUUGCACUCAGCAUCUAUUUUAACUAGUGGGGUUCAAGUUUUCUAACUUUAUCUGUCAGUAGAGCUAAUAAAGUCUUGAGUAGGGAUGGCAAUGGGCACCACCCACAGCGGGUUUGUCAUUACCAAACCCAAACCCGCACAAAAUUUAAAUUACCAAACCCACCCGCAACCCGCAGCGGGUUUUAAUUUUUUUACAAAAACCCACCCGCAGCGGGUUUUAACAAUUACCAAACCCGCAAUGGUAUCCGGCGGAUUUUUUGCGGGUUUCCGUAUUUAAAAUCACAAAUGUUUAAUAUAUAAAUUUAUAAUAAUAACCUCAAAUUCCAUAUAACAUACCCAAUUUUAUAUUUAAAUAAUGUAAAUAAAAAAUUAAAAUUUCCACAUCAAUUCAACACAAAUUCUCAAAUUUAAGUAUAAAUUACACAAAUCCAUUUAAAAAACACAAACUAGUAUCUAAAAAUAAUAAUUAUAUUUCAUAUUAUCAUUUAAAAUAAGCUCCAAGAGAAGAUAUUCAUUUCAUUCACCACCAUAAGCACCCAUCCAACACAAUGCCUAUAAUAAUAAUUAAGGUUAAUAUUUUCAAAUACUAAUUCGAAGGAAAAUGCUUUUAGUUUUCUUUAGAUUAUGACUUUAGAAUAGGAUAUAGGCCACAUACACACAUACACACAUACACAACUUUGAGCCUUUGGCUAUUUGGUAAUUUAAUUAAUGACAUUAUUUUCUUUAUACAUUUUUAGAUUAAAAUUAAAUUAAAAAUAUUUGAAAAAAAUAUUACGGGUUUGGUGGAUAUCCAUGCGGGUAUCCACCGGAUAUAAGAUUAAUACCAAACCCACCUGCAUCCAUGUGCGGGUUUUAAUUUAUAAUACUAAACCCGCCCGCAACGGGUAAAAUUACCCACAACAGGCGGGUUUUGGCGGGUGGGUUUGGGCGGGUUUGCGGGUACAAUUGUCAUCCCUACUUCGGACGAAUACAUCCUUGAAGGGGUUUGGAGGGGGACGAUUAACUCCCAUGGGGGUCAUUGAACUCCCGAUUACUGUGGGGACAAAGCCAUUUGAAAGAACAAUGAUGCUGGACUUUGUCGUGGUAGAGGAAAGAAGUCCUUACCAGAUGAUAUUGGGGAGACCGUUCAUGAGAAUAUGCCAAUGCGUAAUGUCCACGCAUUAUCUGGCACUAAAGUACAGAAUAAAUGGAGUUGUGGGUGUAGUAAAGGGCGACCAGAGAAUGACCAGGAGCUGCUAUGCUACAGCGGCCAAGGAAACACUGCAAGUUACCUCUCUAGAUAACCGAGGGGAUUCAAAAAACGGUCGCCAGGAACCUGCUGAGAAGCUGGAGGAAGUUGUUGUAAGCAGGAAUGACCCUAGCAGAGUGGUUAAGGUCGGAUCAGAAUUGGGCGAAGCAAUAAAAGGCGAGCUGGUGAAGUGUCUACAGUCCCAUGCAGACAUAUUUGCCUGGUCUCAUGAAGAUAUGCUAGGUAUUAAUCGCGGGGUAGUUUGUCACAAGCUGGCAGUCAAGAAAGGGGCAAGGCCGGUGAGGCAGAAAAUGAGGUGCUUCAACCAGGAAAGAUACGAGGCCAUAAAUGCCGAGGUGGAAAAGCUGCUGAAAGUAGGAUUUAUAAGGGAAGCCAAAUACCCGGAAUGGAUUUCAAACGUAGUACUGGUAAAGAAGGCCAAUGGGAAGUGGAGAAUGUGUGUAGACUUCACGGACCUCAACAAGGCAUGCCCGAAGGACAGCUUUCCCCUACCAAAAAUAGAUCAGUUGGUGGACUCAACCGUGGGUCAUAGUCUGCUCAGUUUCAUGGAUGCUUUUUCCGGAUACAACCAGAUACCCAUGGACGAGCAGGAUGAGGAAAGCACUACCUUUAUAACUAACAUGGGUCUGUUUUGUUACAAGGUGAUGCCCUUUGGCCUGAAAAAUGCAGGAGCUACCUAUCAAAGGCUAGUGAACAAAGUCUUCAAACCAUUGAUCGGUCACACCAUGGAAGUAUACGUGGACGAUAUGAUCACCAAGUCAAGAGAACCGAAAGAGCAUGUGAAGCACUUGGAAGAGACCUUCGAAUUGCUGAGAAGGUAUGAAAUGAAGCUGAACCCGGAGAAAUGUGCAUUUGGGGUCAGCUCGGGCAAAUUUUUGGGAUACCUGGUGAGCCAUCGAGGGAUUGAGGCCAACCCGGAAAAGAUACGGGCGGUGAUAGAAAUGAGGUCCCCACGAACAGUUAAGGAGGUGCAGAGCCUUACGGGGAAAUUGGCAGCAUUGAACCGAUUCAUUUCGCGAGCCACUGAUAAGUGCCACCCUUUCUUCCAAAUCAUAAAGAAAGGGAAGAAGAUGGAAUGGACACCGGAAUGCGAGGAGGCAUUUGGACAGCUGAAGGAAUACUUGGCCCUCGCCCCGUUACUCUCAACUCCGAGAGAGGGUGAUCAGCUGCUUUUGUACUUGGCAAUCUCCAAGCGGGCUACCAGCUCGGUCCUGGUCAGGGAAGAAGAAGGGAAGCAACACCCGGUAUACUACACAAGCAAGGCUCUGGUAGAUGCAGAAACCAGAUAUCCACUAAUGGAGAAGUGGGCGCUGGCUCUGAUAACGGCAGCACGCAAGCUGCGACCAUAUUUCCAAGCCCAUCAGAUCGUUGUGAUGACUGACCAGCCCCUUCGGCAAGUGCUUCAAAAACCAGAUGCGUCAGGUCGGUUAGUAAAAUGGUCUGUGGAGCUGAGCGAAUUCGACUUAUCAUACAGGCCCUGAGGAACAAUCAAGGCCCAAGCCCUGGCUGAUUUUAUGGUUGACCGUACUGGACCAGGGGAAGAGGUCCAAGAGGAACAACCAGAAGAACAGGAGGAUCCAAAGGGGGUGUGGCUGGUAAUGGUGGAUGGGUCACGUAGUGAACAAGGAUCCGGGGCAGGAGUUAUAAUACGAAGCCCAGAAGGUGUCGAGGUGUCUUAUGCUGUAAAGUUCGAGUUCCAGCUUACGAAUAACCAAGCUGAAUAUGAGGCCUUCAUUACUGGGCUCGGUCUGGCACAUGCACUACGAGCAGAAAGGGUAGAAAUCCGAGCCGAUUCCCAGCUAGUAUGUAACCAGCUCAGCGAUCAGUUCCAAGCAAGGGGGGAGAAGAUGGGUCUUUAUCUGAAGAAAGCAAAACAGAUGGUUGGGCUUUUCCAAGAGGUGGAGGUAAAGCAGAUAUCCCGGAAUGAGAAUUACCGAGCGGAUAUGUUGGCUCGGAUGGCUGCAAUUGCAGACCCGAAAUUACCUAAGUCGGUUCCACUAGAGGUAAGGACCUCGCCGAGCAUAGGUGAGGAAGUGGAGGUGAUGAGAAUAACCACUGGAGAGUCCUGGAUGGACCCGAUUCGCGCGUAUGUCCGCGACGGAGUUUUGCCUGAGGAUAGAAGGCAAGCAAGAAAGUUAAAAUGCCGAGCAGCGAGGUACACGCUACUAGAUGAAGUGCUGUACCGCCGAGGGUCCACCUUGCCCCUUUUGCGAUGUGUGGAUGAUGAGGAGGCAGAUUAUGUACUAAGGGAAAUUCAUGAAGGAAUUUGCGGCAAUCACUCGGGAGCAAGAACUUUAGCCUUCAUGGCACUCCGGCAAGGAUACUUCUGGCCGACCAUGCACCAGGAUGCAAAAAAGAUGGCAAAAAAACUAUAAAACAUGCCAAAGCUUCUCUGAGGUUCCUGUACAACCCCCAGAAAAGCUGACCACAAUGACAUCCCCAUGGCCUUUUGCCCAAUGGGGAAUCGACUUGAUUGGUCCGUUACCGAAAGGUCGAGGAGCGGCGACACAUGCAAUUGUGGCAAUAGAUUACUUCACCAAGUGGGUAGAAGUGGGAGUCCUCAGCCAAAUCACGGAGAGAAAGACAACGGAUUUUAUUUGGAAGAACAUCAUCUGCCGAUAUGGGAUCCCCUAUGCCAUCAUUACAGACAAUGGGAGACAGUUUGACAACAGCAACUUCAGAGAGUUUUGCCGAAAUUUGGGGGUGGACCUGAAGUUCUGCACCCCCGCACACCCCCAGGCAAACGGACAAGUGGAAGCAGCCAACAAAGUGAUAAAGAAGCUCUUGAAAACCAGAUUGGGAGAGAAUAAGGGAGCUUGGGUUGACGAGCUACCAGGGGUAUUGUGGGCUUACCAGACAACUCACAAAACUGCUACAGGGGAAACCCCGUUCGCUUUAGCUUUUGGUCAUGAGGCAGUAGUCCCAGCAGAGAUUGGAGUGGGGACACAUCGGACGGAAUACUUCAAUGAGGAGCAAAAUGGCGAGCAGAUCUGCUUGAACCUGGACCUGCUGGAGGAGAAAAGGAAAGGGGCCUCGCAGAAAGUGGCCCAGUGUCAGCAAAGGGUCACGCGUUAUUACAACAAGAAUGUACGCGUGAGGCAGUUCCGAGCAGGAGAUUGGGUACUUAGGAAGGUGAAUCAAAAUACUAGGGAUCCCAACCAUGGUGCUCUUGGCCCAAAAUGAGAAGGCCCGUAUAGAGUAAUACGAGCCACGGGACCAGGAGCUUAUAAGUUAGCAUACCCAGAUGGGCGAGACGUGAAGAGGUCGUGGAACGCCGAGCACUUAAAGAAGUAUUUCCAGUAAGCAAAAUACUCCACUAAAUCUUAAAUUUGAUAAGUUAUAUUUGUCAAAUGCAUGGUGGCUUGGUGCACAUGCAUAUAUUUUGUAUUUUUGUAACGCAUUCAAAUUUCAAUAAAGAUGAAUUCAGUAUGAAAGAUGAAUUCAUUAUGAAAUCCCCCGGCUAAUAAGCCCACAAAAAUCUUACUAAGGCAAGUAAGUGCCUACUUCUGCUCGGUCAACCAAAGACCAGCAGCUAAUUCUACAAAAAAUCUUACUAAGGCAAGUAAGUGCUACUUCUGCUCGGUCAACGAAAGACCAGCAGCUAAAUCUACGAAGAUUCUACUAAGGCAAGUAAGUGUCUACUUCUGCUCGGUCAACAAAAGACCAACAGCUAAUUUUACAAAAAAUCUUACUAAGGCAAGUAAGUGCCUACUUCUGCUCGGUCAACGAAAGACCAGUAGUUAAAUUUACGAAGAUUCUACUAAGGCAAGUAAGUGCCUGCUUCUGCUCGGUCAACGAAAGACCAGCAGCUAAAUUUACGAAGAUUCUACUAAGGCAAGUAAGUGCCUGCUUCUGCUCGGUCAACGAAAGACCAGCAGCUAAAUCUACGAAGAUUCUACUAAGGCAAGUAAGUGCUUACUUCUGCUCGCUCAACGAAAGACCAGCAGCUAAUUCUACAAAAAAUCUUACUAAGGCAACAAAGUGCCUGUUUCUGCUCGGUCAACGAAAGACCAGCAGCUAAAGCUUCGAAAAUUUUACUAAGGCAAACAGAUGCUUAUUCCUGUUCGAUGCACCAAAGAACCAACAGGCAAAACCAGACAAGAAAGCCAAUAGAGAGCAUUCAAAAAAUUUUAUAAACGUUCAAAUGUUUACAAAGUAAAUGAAAGACUAGAGUCUUUACAAAAAUAGACCUAAGGAUUAGGAGGAUCAACGGCCUCAGCAGGUGAAGGGUCAGCUAUCUCGGGAGGUGGAAGGUAAGCAAUAUCGGGAGGAGGAGGCACGGACCCCUGUCCCACUUCAAAAACACGCCGCCCAGCUUCUCCCUCCUGCACCCCAUCCAAAGGAGUCUCCACCUGCUCCUGCUCACCCUGCUCCUUAUCUGCUUGGUCGACCUCCGCCAUAUACCGCUGCACUCCGGCCUCCAAUUUGCUCAUGUCCAUCUCGGGAUAUUCUGUCUUAAGCACAGACAUGAUGCACUUGUAGGAGAAGGCAACCCUAGAAUCAUACUCGGCAUCCAGCCGAUCAUCCACAUCAGCGGAUUUGCCUCUCUCCUCAGCCAGCUGCUCGCCCAAGGAUUUGAUUUCCCCCUCAAGGGCGGCCCUCAAAGUAUCCCUUUCAGCUUGAGUAGCCUGAAGAUCAGAUCUCAGGUCACCCAACUCGCCCUCGAGUUUGGAAGAAGUGGAUUCAGCAACCGCAACUUUCUCCUCUAGCUCCAUAAUCCGCUUGCUUAGCUCAGCCAGCUUCUCCUUAGAGCGAUCAGCAGAGUCGGCUUUCUUCUUCAAUUCCUGAAUGUCAGCUUGGACCUUCUUCUCAUGGCGCGCGGACCCAAGCUUGUAGCAUGAAACCAUGGUAGCCAGCCGGAAGGACACUCUCUGAACAGAAGCAGCUAGCUCGGAGAGAUUCAUACUCUCGAUGUCCUUCACCAUCUUGGGCCCCACCGAUCUCUUGUAAUCCUUCUGAUACGGGCUCAGGUAGUCCGCUUGAUCCCGAGAGGGCAGAGGAGAAGGUCGGUCCCCAGACUGGUAGUUGACCUCAGGACUCUUAUCAGAAGUUUUCUCCCCACCACUCUUGCGGGGUGGAGGAGGGGGCAGAGCAGGGACAGGAGCUUUGGAAGGGCCGACGCUGGACUUCUUUAGAGGAGGAGGGGGGUUGCUGGAGCUGCUUGGAGCCCGACCACGUUUUCUGGUCAUCGCACUUAGGAUCUUGUUAUCCAUUCCAGCUGCUAUGUCCACUAAACCUGAACCGACCAGGCUUGUUGGUGACAGAAGGUCUUGACAGGUAGACGCGUUUACCAGAGCAGUUUCCACCUGGAGUAGAGGUCGGUCUUCAAGCCCCUUUAUCAAACCCCACGACUCUGAAAGAACAAACAAGGUUAAAGAACCCAAUAAGUAACGAGUCGAGAAAGAGUAUAGGCAAAAAAUGAACGACCUGGGGUGACAAAAUUUGCUGGAAGGUAAAUAUCACCACCCAACGAAUGAGCUGCUGGACACCAAGCUCCCCCAGCAAAGAAGAAUUUGUUCUUCCAAUUUUUGCACGAGGAGGGGAAGCCGGUGAUUGGUUUCCUCUUCGCAGAGCUCGACAUGAAGUAAUACCAGCCUGCUUCCUUCGAGCUACUCCUCAGCUGGUAAAGAUACUUCACUUCAACGAGGGAGGGCUCCUCUGAUCCACACCUCUUCCACAACACAUACAUAGCCGAGAGAACCCUCCACCCAUUGGGAUGUAGCUGACCUGGGGCUAGGUGCAUACCACCCAAUAUCUUAGCAAAAUAACGUUGAAGGGGCAGCCGAGCUCCCAAUUUGAAGCUCUCUAGGUGCAUCGUCACAUACCCCUGCGGAGGCCGACUAGGGACGUCACCUUUUCCUGGAACUACCAGGAGAAUCUCCACAGGAAUGUCGUAAAGGUUCCUCAGCUUGAACAAAUCAGUUUGGGUGGUGGCACAAGCUGUGUAGUCAAUAGGGUAAGAAUCCGCCUCUACCCUAUGACUAAGGUGCCUUCUCUGAGGAGGUCCCCUCGGUCCUGAACUGCUCCCCUCACCAUCACCAACUCCUUCAGGGAUCCCAACCCCAUUAAAGCUGUGGUUCUCACCAGAGCCCGACGCAGGUCCACCUCUAUUCCCUAUAAACUCUAGUUCGGGGGAAGGAGGGACAACCAAAGGGCGUGGGUACUCAAGGGUAUCCCUGCCAUGGGAAAGACCUACACUGCUGGAAGGACCUAGGAAAUCGGUGGGUAUUGGCACGUUGAGGCCUGAAUCCCCUGAUUCUUCAUCGCCCUCAUCAACAAUUAACUUUCUUUUCCGGUUUGACAUAUCGGAGUCCCGAAAGAAAACAAAGAAAACUCGAAUAAACUGAUACAAAAGGGGGCAACACAAAACCCAAUCAACAACAACCAAAGCAGGAGUUAAAGGCUGUACCUGGAAUACACUGGCACUGAUAAUGUUGCUGUGAUGAAGGUAAAAUCCCGCAAACGGAAGUCCUAGACGCAGAGAGUGUGAACAAAGUUCGUAGGAAUUGACUCGCGACAGAAGAACAAAUAGAACGAAACAACGAGGAUUUGGGUCUAGGGAUUCGAAGCGAAAAGGGAAAUGAAAGCAUUUAAGUGAUAGAGACGCCAGCUCACUCACCGUACAUCAAGGACAGAUAGCCCGUCGUUUCAAAUUUCAAAUACGAAGAGUCGGGAGAUGCCACGUCACCAAUCGUUAUAAGAGGCUAGGCUAGAUGCAAGCCCAUAUACGCAAUGGACAUACUCAUUUAGGCCCAUGCGCAGGUCAAAAUCUCCCCUGAAGAAAAAUGAUACCUCAGGUCCAUCCCAGUAGACGGAAGACUAGAGGAGAAGUCCCCGGAUUGGUAAGAUUUGACUAUCAGUUUCUACUCUUGACUCAUUUCACUCACAAGACCAGAAACUGGGGGACUGGUGUUAAGCAAAUAAAAGCACCAGGUCGGCCAUGCUACUAUUUCCACCCCGGCAUGAAUCACCUCAGCCAAAUGGUACGAGCAGAACAGGGGGUAACAUGAGCCGAUCAGAGACGAAUACUGACCAGAGCCAUAUACCGAGUUGGUACCCGUCCCCCAAAAAGCAGAAACACGAUCUCAUAGAAUCACGGUAGUUGCGCUUUCCCAGAACCGUUGCGGGAGACGCGAGAUCCCACGUUUGCCCACAGUGCAGCAGUUAGAAUCCCAUGAGAGGCUACCACUACCCGAGAAAGGUGGGAUGAAGGGCAAACGGGAACGUGGGGACAGCGGCUAUAAAAAGAAGAAGAAAUCAAUGAAGAGUGGGAUAGAAAAACUGAGAGAGAGAAAACGCUGCCAAAUUGAAACCAAGCAAUUUUAUUACAAACUUCGAGCAAAUUAGAACCACUCUUGAAUCAAAAUUUAACUGUUUUCCCGUAAACACCUUGUGCUAACUUAGGCAUCGGAGGGUUUACGCCGGCAAAACCACCGGCGUCUCUGAUCUGUUUUUGGUGAACGCAGGUCUAGUAAGGAAAAGGAGAGUGAUUCCAACCCCAGUGGUUCGAGCAGCAGUGGAUAUUAUAAACGUUGGUGAAAGACUCUAGUCGGUCCAAGGGCGAGCAGAUUUCAGUAUCAACAUUUUGGCGCCGUCUGUGGGGAGCUGGAUAAAAAGCUACCACCGAAUUAGGAAUUACCGGAGAAACAGCGAACGGUUAGACAUGGAUGUGACGAGGAAUGACGCUUUGAGGGAGGAUAACGAAGCUGGGGAGACAAUCACUCUUCGGGAAAUUGCAAAUGAAGCCCGGGAGAGGGUGAUGCAAGAUCGAUUAGAACGGAUGGAAAGACAAAUGGAGACUCUCACGACCGUACUAUACGAGCUGAGGGAUGAACGGAGAAGAGAUUGUGAAACCCCCGUGGGGAGAGAUGUUGUUGGAGCGGAACCUAGCCUCCGGAGGCGUAGGGUCGAGGAAAUCCCUCCGCUAGCAGACCAACCUAAUGGGGUGCAUCCCCACAGAAGCACUAGCCGGGUUCCAGGAGAAGGAGUAGAUGAAGGAAUGGACCAACUUCUCCCCGGAUGGGUAUUGGAAGUCAAUAGCCGAGGGGCCAGUGCUGACGAAGGAGAGCUCAGACAGCGGUUGCAUAAUGCUGAGCUGGAACGAGACCAGAUAGCUGCCCGUGAUCCUGGCCGUGCCAUUGAAUUGGAGGGGGAGGUGCAUUAAUUUUUAAUUUUUUUAAAACCCCUACUCUUGAGCUUAUCAGAAUCUCUUUCUCCAUACAAAUCUCAACACCUGUCAUUUAAUUUUUUUAAAAAUUUUAUCCUUACUUCACAAUAAUUGCAAAAAGAUAAAGUGUUAGUGGAAGAUGAAGCAACUCCACUACCUUGUGCAUUUUGAACGCAUGGUGAUGUAUGCUGCGAUAAAAAUAGUAAAUUGCUAACUGUAUUUCUUGCUAAAGGACUUACGAAAAAGUUUAGGCCAAUUCACUAUUUUGUAGCACCUGCGGCUGAUUUGAAAUCAUAAAUUCCUUGACAAUCAAGGUUGUAAAAAUUUGUAAUUUCUCUUAAAACUUCAGGCAAAGUGUAUACCUGGUGUAAAUCCUUUAAAAACUACAUAAAAGCAAAAAAAAAAAAAAAUCUAAAGGUUUGCUUUGAAUUUUCUGAAAAUAAAAUGUUAAUGCAUUUAAGAUGACUAAAAUCUUUCUACUAUCACCCUUUGCAUUCCAGAUGUUGUCUAGAAGACAAAGUUUCAUUCAUCUAACUAUGUUGGUAGACUAAUCUAACCAAAGGUUAUUUUCCUACCGUCUAUCUACAAAAUCAUAAAAUAUAUUAGAAUAAAUUUCUCUACUUAAGUAAUCAGUUAAUCUAUUAUCUACUUUUUUUUAUGUGUUUAAAUUUUGCUUUAUAACCAUUUCCUGCUGUAGCAUUAACAAACCAUCUUUUACUACUUAACUUCUUUUUAUUACUUUUAUUUAUUAAAUUAUAAUUAUUGCUUCACAAUUUGUCUUUACUGUAAAAGGCUGAUUGAGAAAUAAUCUAAAUCUAUUUAUAACAUUAAUGACUCCUAAAAUUUUAUAGUCUAAGUUGGUUAAACUAUUUUUAGUUUCUUUGUAGAGACCUACUGAACUUUUCACUACAAGAAAAAAGGCCUACAAUGACAGUCCCUUGUGUGACAGUUUUUUAUCUGGAGACCUACAAUGAUGGAUUUGUGUUAAAUUUUAUUUUUAUCAUGCAAUUAUGACAUAAUUGUGAUAUAAAUUUCGUCUAUCAAAAACUUAGGAUAGACUCAUGAUAGAUUUUUUAACUAUCAAGAAUUUAUGACUCAUAUUUAAUUUUGACUUCAGUUAUUCGGGUUUGACUGUAUUUUUUAAAAUUAUUUUAUUACAAAAAAUUACUAUUAAAAGGAAACGCAGUCGUUUCUUUUGCAAGCAAAACGACAACGUCUUUUUGGCAAGCAAAACGACAACGUCUCUUUGUCGAAUAUAAACUUGAUAAUUCUGAAUAAAAGUUGUGACUUUUGGGGGAAAAAAAACAUAAAAUGCAGAGUUUUAAAGAGAUAACUCAUUUUAAGUGUGAGAAAUUCACUCUCACACUCAAAACACACAAAAGACUUCGACAAAUUAAGAGAAAAUGAAGAAACCCACGACAAACCCACAACAAACCAUAAUCAUUCGAAGUCAUUCUCAUUGCCUACCAUUCUCGCCGCUAUUUUCGAUGUCGUUCGUCUGCCAUUCUCACUCAUUCGUCGUUCGAGCUCUACCGAAACCUGCUUUUGUCAAAGAUUUCACCCUUUCGUUUGAACGCAAUUUCUACUCUGUGCUAGAGAUAUUUGAAGUCCCAGCUUCUGCCAUUGUCAUUGCUUCUGCUUCGGAUUUGUUGAUAAACCCUAACAAUUUCUAUUGUACCUAUCUAUUUCGCCAGCAAAGCCCUAACUGAAGAACUGAUUUCUUUGCACUGUGAAAUCAUCAGUUCAUUGGUAUGAAAUUCAUCAUUACCUUUAAUUUUUGUUUAUUUUUGUUGAUUUUCUGUGUUUGUAUGUUUGUAUAAAAAUGAGACUUCGAAAAAUAUUUUCAAUUUAGGAGCAUUUGUUGGGGACUUGACUUUUGAGGAAGAUACGAGUAAAUAUGUGGAAGUAUUUGUUUAAUUACUUUGAGGUCUGAUCUCUAUUGGACAUUUAGAAUAAAGAUCAAGAAAUUUAUGCCAUUUUUAAGAAAGAGUUGAUUCUUGAUAAACCAGAUUCUUGUUCUUUUUAGAAGGUUAUUUUGUGAAUUCAAUUUGUUUUUAAUUGAAUCUGUUGUUGUUUUUGGUAGCGAUGAUAUAUGGUUUGAAGAACUUAAGGAAGAGCUUGAAGAAUGCAAGAACCAUGAAGUAAGCAGAAGCUUUAAUAUUUGUUCUUUUUAUGCUAAUAUGUAGCCAAUCUUUUAGUGAUUAUAUGUUUAGUUGUUAGUUUAACCACUCAGGCAUGGUGCUACUUUUAACAUUGAUUCAUUCUUUGGGAAAUAAUCAGUUGAGAGAUUGACAUAAAGUACAAGCUUAAGAAUUCAAUUGUUGUUGUUGAUCGGUGCAUUCUUUGAACUGAAAAUUUGAAAACUUGUAAGUGAUUAGGUAGUUGUUUGUUGGAUGUUGAUUAGACCUGUAAGUGUAUAAUACUUCUUGAGCUUACAUUAAUGCAAGUUAUUCAGAUUUCUGGGUUUAGAAAUUAACUUGUUAAAUGGUUGAUGCACAAAUCAGAUGAUUACAUUAUCCAGUUCAAUUUUUUUUUUUUUUUUGAUAAUACAUUUAUCCAUCAAAUAGAAAGGAAUGAAAAGUGAGUUUAGAGAGUACCACUUGUCAUUGUCUUGUAGUUUGAUGUAGAAUGUGCAUAAGCUAACUGUAACAUCCCAUAUUCCUUUAACUGUGAUUUUAUUAACUCUUAAGUUUAAGCCCAAUAUUAUAUAUUUAGCCAUUUUUAAAAGCCUAUUUUCUCUAUUACUUAACUAAAUAGCUUAAACAAUAUAUUUGCUUGUCAUUCUCAUGUGUAAGAAAUGGAGGCAAAAGACAUUGCCAUUAUCCACCAUUUGAGAAAAAGAAACAGAACCUGAUACAAAGUUUAAAAACUUUUCUGAUUUCACCAAUUGAGCUUCAAUUUCUUUAGUUUCAGUGUCAAUUUGAAACAUAUCUUGCCAAGGCUUUAGAACCAUUCUUGCAUGUUAAAUUAUCCAAGCUUGGCAGCCUCAAAUCCAUCAAAAUUAUAAGUCUACCUUAAAUUGCUUUAUAUGUAUGUUAAUUUACUCUCCUUUCUAUAGUUGGUGUAAGUUUGAAGCCAUUGUGAGCUAUUCUUAUGCUAUCUCAGAACUCUUGACUCACCAUUGUAGUCCAACCACUGAUUUUUCUCCUUUUAUGAUUUAGGGAGAGUAGAACUGGUGUGGGGGAUAAAAAUCUUGUUGUUUUGAGUAGUCUUUUUGGCAGAAGACAAUGGGCUUCCUUUUGUUUUUAGGUAAAACCCCUCGAUUUCUCAAUAACUUCUUAUGACUUUGUUUAAUGGUAGUGUGAUUGAUUAUUAUUUCUUUGAUCUUUUAUGUUUUGAGUAGUCUUUUUGUCAAUUCCAAGGUUGAGGUUAAUACUUGAGAAGGUGGCAGAAAGUUUUAACAGGCUACAAAGUUAAAGCUUGUGAUUUAGGUAGGUAACUUUGGGCAACUAAUGUUCUGGUUUUGUAGUUCACUUAUAUAGUGCAUAGAUACUUUUUUACAAUUCAAUUGAAAGACAACAUAUUCUAAUGAUGAAUUAGAUGAAGUUCGUAUUGAGUGGGCAAACCAUGUUUCUGAAUUACUUGCUACUAUGUGAGGUAAGCCUUACCUAUUAUGUUGUUAUAGUGAGUUCAUUGAUGAAACAAAUUAAUUUACCAAACUUUUGUUCAUUGAAAACAAACUUUGCUAGCUAUUAUUCUAUUGCUUAGUAUUCUAAUCUAUAUGAGUUGUCACGGACUUUGAAUUUGUUAUAUUUUACUUGUGCAGUUACCUAGCUUCUUACACUUGCUAUGUUGGAAUUUGAUGAAGAUGGCGGGUACUGCUGGAGUUCGCUACCUUUUUUAUUUGAUGCAAAAACAGGUCCUGAAUAUUGAGGCAACUUUGCACAUUUAGCUUAUUCUUAUAUUGGUAUUUGUUGUAUGCUUCACCAAAACUGUUAGAAUGGAUUUUCUUAGUCUGAUCAGUGUUGUUGGCUUCAUCUUGUGUUGCUGGAAAUGAACUGUGUUCUUGGCUUUCUUUGUGUUGCUCUAAAUGACUAUGUUGUUGGCUUCCUUUUGUUGCUGGAAAUGAACCGAUCAUGGUACAUUAGUCUUGUACAUGUUGCAGGAAUUUGUUUUUAUGUUGUUACAAUACUCUUCUAUUUAUGUUGGACUUGUCACUUGUAUUUGGAUAAAUUAUGUUUGUUCACAAUUAUCAAUAAUUAGCCAAUGUUAUUUAUUUUGUUUUCUUUGUCAAUGAAUUUUUAAUUGCAAUUAAUUUUAAUAAUCUAAUUAAUUAGCUAAAUUAUGAAAUAUUAAUUUCUAAAUCAAUUGUAGGAUUUUUAUUAAAAUGAUAAUAAUUUCAUGGUACAAACAAAAUAGUUAUUUUUAUUAAUUAUAAUUUCAAAUUUCCAAUUAAUUGAAAAAAAUCAAUUAAUUAUAAUUUCCAUUUUCACUGCAAAUUGAACAUUUCCUGCCAAAAUUUAAAAAAUAGCGUGCGAAAUUCAAAAAAGGCAACCCAAAUUCAAAAUUAUUAUAUUUCCCUCUAAUUAAAGUUAUGAUGGUUGUGUGACUGACUAUAUUCAUCAUAGGUUAUGAUUGGUAUUAUUCUGUCAUCAAUUCUUGACGCUGGCUAUAAUGACGGUAUGAACAACUGUCAUCCACCCCCUACUAUGACAAUUUUUGCCUGUCAUCGUAGGUACUUUUUCUUGUAGUGUUUACAAUUGUUUUCAGUGUUCUUACUACUGUAUUUACUUGGUUUAUAAAGUAAUACUGCUCCCCAUAUGUUAUCACUAGCAUAUGUUUCUAUAACCUUAUUCUCACUUUCUAAUAGUUAAGCUAAUUCUGGUAAUUCUUCUCAUUAGUUUUAUAAUUUUUAUUUUUCUAACUAAUUCUAUAUCAGAUGAAUUAAAGAACUUUUAAUCUCCUAGUUUAUUCUUAUGUACAAAUGUCAUACAAGCUUACUAAGAUCUUUUAUAAACAUUCUAGCAUAAUUUAAUAUUUAUAGAAAGGCUUGUAACUUUUUAGUAUCUUCUAUUUUGUUUGAAAAAUCUAAUAUCUUUUUUACUAUAUGUUCUUGUAAUUUUAUCUUUCCUUUUCUGAUUUUUAUUCCUAGAAAUUCGAUGUAUUUUUUACGUAGUUCUAUUUUUUUCUUACUAAUUAUAGGUCCAUUACCGAAGAACUCAUUAAAAACUGUAAAUAGGUGAUUAUAAUAAUCUUCUAAAUUUUGACUAAAAACUAAUGUGUCAUCUACAUACAAUAAAAUAAAUUUACUAUAUUUUCUAAAUAUUUGAUCCAUCUUAUGUUGAAAGAUAGAAAGGGCAUUUUUUAGUCCAAAUAACAUAAAAAUCCAUUCUAAAUGUCCUUCAGAGCAGCUGAAGGCAGUCCAUGGAAUAUAAUCAUCAUCCAUUUUAAUUUGCCGAAAACCAGACUUACAAUAAAACUUGCUAAACACAUUGGCAUUUUAGAUGCAAUUUAUUUUUAUGCAAUUUAUUAACUAGUCUUUUUCAAGAAUUUUAUACUGAUCUUUUUAUUUUUUACCAUUUCAACGCUUAUAGUUUACGACCACUCAUGCUUUUCCACUUUAAAUUUUUACAUGAUUUCUAAUCAUAAAUGUUUUACUUCUAUGCCUACUAUUACCAUGCCUAAUUACUCCUAACUUUAACAAUUCUGGUAUUUGAAUGCUAAAUUCUUCCAUGUCUUAUGGAUUAUAGUCUCCUUUACCUAUUUUAAUAGUAAAAUCUACAUCUUUUACAUCUAAAUGGGCUUUAAUUUGUUCUUAUCCCAAUAUUUAAUUGGGUUUUCUCCUAGGACUUGUGUAGUUUCUUCUAAUCUAAUUAUUUCUUCUAAGUCAUGCUCUUUAGAUUUUUUUUAAAUUUAGGUCUAUUAGUUUGUUUAUCUAUAUUUUUUUAAUACAAAAUUAAGAUUACAAAAAUCUUCUAAAUCUAAAUCACAAAAAUUUACUUCUUUAUUGAUUUAUGGUCCUUCUAGAUCCUCUAAGAAGCUAUCUAUAUCUUCUCUAUUAAUUGGAUUUUCUUUUUCUAAAUCUUGUGGAAACUUGAAAUAACUAUUACUGGUUCCAUCACGCUCUGCAUGCAACUCUAAUUGCAUAUCUUGACUUUGUAGACGAUGAAAAAGACAAAUUCAAUUGGGGUGACAUGUUCUUUUGAAAAAUGUAACCAUAAUUACUAUUGAUUAACAUAUUGCCUUUACUACUACAUAUAAAAUUUAAUCCUAAAAUAAAUUUAAAUUUGUUAUUUAUUGGACUAAUCUGUACUUGUGGUAAGGAAUAAUAUUCAUUAAAUUCAUUUUGUAUUCUGUAGAAACUGAUUUGUGCAUCUCUAACACUUUUAUCGUACUUUAAUAUAGUUUUAUCCAUUUGUUUAACAAAUAUAAGUUGUGACAAUGUUUACAAACAAUCUGUUGGGAUUAAAUUAAUAACUAUAUGAGACUUACUACUCCUUGAAUCUAUAAUGGCUAAUAAUUCUAUGUAUUACCAUUUCUAUAUCUAAUUUUACUAAUAAUAAUAAGGAAGGUUGUCUGAGGUAUAAAAGAUAAGAAUCGACUUUUUAGAAUGUUGAUCUAGACAUUCAUCCAAAUAUUUGUCAUUUGCCUUAAUAAUUUGUUUAUUCUUUUGCCUAUUUUGGUUUUGUUCUAAUUCAAAAAAUUUCUAUCUAAAUUCAAACUCUUGUCUUUCUAACUGAAAUUUUAAUCUUUCAAUUUCUAAAUUUUGGGUUUCUAUAGUUUGCAUAGAUUCUUGUACUUCUACUGGCUGAUUUUUACUGAUGAUUAUAUAUUGUAUCCCUUAGUGCUGAUUGGUUAAAACUUAUUCUACCAUGAUUGGGUGGAUUGGUAAUACUGCUACUAGCUUAUUCCAUAACAUCAUCCAUUUUGAUGGAUUCUUGUGUUUUAAAGAUUAUACUAGCUUCUAAUUUACCUCUUAUUAUAUUAUCUAUAUAUUGAGUAAUAUAUUCUGUAUUUAAAACUUUUACCACCUGGUCAUGACUGAUUUCUAACAUUAGUUCAUCAUAUUAACAAUCAAGAAUUUUAUUCAUUUUUUUCCAUAUGAACUCUUCUUCUAUAGCUAUUAAAGUAUUUCAAUUUUUUUCUUCUAAAUCAUCAUCCUAACUACUAGUUAUGCCAACUUGAUAAUUACAAUUCCCAAAUCUCAAAUCUAUGGAACCAUUAUUAUCGUGGUAAAUUACACUAUCUUCUAGUAUUAAAAUUGGUUUUUCUAUAAAACUAUCUAACUUCCAAUCUAAUAAUGCAUUAGUUUCUAUUGAGAAACUUUUUGUUUGAAUAACUUUAAUUCCUUUCAUUCCUAUAAUGUUUAUUAUCUUAUUAUUAUCUAACUUAUAUUUAGUUCUGCUAUUUUUAUUAAGUCUUCAUAUAAAUCCAGUGCAAAUUAAAUAAAUUAUCUUCAUUCCUUUUCAUAUGAUAGCCUCUAGUUUGUAUCCAUCUUUGUAAAAUGUAUUAGCUUUUCUUAAAUAAUUUGAGGUAAAAUAUACUAUUUCUCCUUUAUUGUUUAGAUCUAGUUCUGUGCUUGCUAAAAUUUAUAAACCGAUUAUGAUAAAGACAAACCAAAGUUUUUGCACCUAAAUUUUCUCUAUGUAACCCUUUUACUUCUAUUAUAACUAAUCUUAAAUGAGCUUGUUUAAGAUCUUUAUUACUAAUAUGAUUUUAGGAAUGCUUAUCUAUUAAAUCUAAUUUAAUCAUUUGAUCUUCAUGAGUACAUGACACAUAUCUUUCACUAUAAUGUUGAUAUAGUAAAGAUUUGUUAAAUAAAUUCAACAAAUUCUCUUUUUUAUAUUUUAUAUUUGAAUUAAUUAAAUAUAAUUUAUUCUGCCUAAACUUUUCUAUUUGUACAUCUAAAUCUAUGCGGUUUUCUAAUUUAACAUCCUCAUUCUCUUUUGUUUUAUUAAAUAUUCUUUUUAAAUAAUUACCUUCUAAUUUACUAUUAGUGACUAUUAGUUUUCCUUCAUCCAUUAAUAAUAUCCACAACUCUUUGAUUGCUUAGGUUGAAAGCUACUUUUAUCAGUAUCAAUUUUUAUUUUUUCAAAUCUAAUUACUAAGCCUUCUAAAUAUGAAGUAGGUAUAACUUCUGAAUCCUUAGUUUUUUUUUUUUUUUCUAAUUGUUUUAAUUUUAGUUUUCCUUCUCCUAACCUUGAAAUCUUAUCUAAUUCCACUAUAUCUUCAUCUUUUAUGAAGUCUAAUUUUUCUUCUAAUUUCUUAAAAAUUGUUUUAUUUUCUCUUAAACUAUCUAAAAAUAAUUUAAGAUUCUUAUUAAUCUUAUCAAAUUCUAAUUUUAAAUUUCCACCUAAAUUUAUUAACAAAUUUACUAGGUUGUUUAACUAAGAGUUUUCUAUAUGUAGGUCGUGUCUAAAAUUUCUUUCUUUGUUACAAUCUAUAUCGUAUCUAUCUAAAGUUACCUUCUUACUGUAGUAAUUACUAAGUUCUAAAUCAAAAUAUUUUAUUUUCUUCAUAAACUAUUGGAUCUUGUAAUAAGAAGUAACUAAUUGAACUAUACUCUGAUAUUAGUUUGCAGUGGGUAUAUGAGAGUAGUAUAUCUAAAAAUUGGGGUGUGAGUAACUAAUUACCAAUACUCAAAAGUUUUUGAUAAUUUAAACUUAUUAAAACUAACCGUUUUGUACUUAGUUUUGUUCUCAUUUUGUAAGAACAUCAUUUCCUAUAUCUCUAUAAACAGUUUUUAUAUACCAUGAUCUAUAAGUUGAUUGUAAAAAUAAAAUAAAAAAUAAAGGCCGACGGAUAUUGACGAAUUCAUUGACCAAAUAAGAAAAAGCAAUUGAUCUGAUUUUAGGAGUCCUAAAAAUAGUUUUCGCCAAUAAAAUAGUAAAUCCAAUAAAUUGAUGCAAACUAGUCAAAAAAAUAAAAUAAAAUAUCUAAAAAGACGAAAACAACCCGGAACUAUUAAACGACACCGAAUAAUUGGGGUUUUCCUUUUGUGAAACCCUAAGCUUAUAAAUGCCAACUUGCCAAAGCCUUACAAAGAUUUUGCAUCAACGAUACUCUCGUUAACGAGGGAUCUGCUUCGUUUGGAGUAAUCGGCUGCGGAAUACAGAGACUGUGACCGUGAGCGAAGAUGAGAGCUAAGGUAAAUCUAUCUCCACAGAAAUUCGGUCUAUGAUUCUAUUUUUUUCCUUAACCAAUACAUGGUAUCGUAUUUUCAAUUUCACGUAUUAUUAUUUUUUGAUCUUGGAUUUUGUAUCUUGAAUUUGGAAAAAAUGAAACCCUUGAACAUGCCGUUGAUUUUUUUUUUUUUGGCACAUAUUUUCUUCUUGCUUAUUGCUGUGUACAUGUCUGUGUUUUAUAUGAUUAUAGGCAGUAAUUUUUCUGUGGGAUGUUUUUAGUUGACUCGAACUUAAAUAAAUGAUGAAAAGAAAUGAUGUACUCAAAAAUAAUAUUAUGUUUUCUAGCUCCUUAACUGUUUAGAAAAAUAUUUAUGGACUAUUGAAAAAAUACUUACAUAAUUGAUUGUUUGGGAAGUGUUUCUGGUUAAUGUUAUUGUCAAGGGAAGUUAUGGAAGAGGGCUUCUCAAUCCUUUAUGGUUAUAUUUUGUCAUAAAUAUUUUGAUGGAGUAUUUGCCAUUUAUUAAUCUAUUAUUUGGCUGAAUAAUUUGUAUGAAUGGAUGAAUUUAUGAUCUUCUAGCUUUUUCUUUGCUGGGAGUUAAAUUGUCUCUCUUUUGUUUACUUUUUGCAGUGGAAGAAGAAGCGCAUGAGAAGGCUGAAGAGGAAGCGCCGAAAGAUGAGACAGAGAUCUAAGUAGGUUCAGGAACAUGGGUUCAGUUUCUCCCGAAAUGCCUUCAUCAUCUCUCAACUUUUCAGCAUGUGAUACAUGAUGAAGUUGUCAAGAUUAUAGAGGGAUGUUUUUUCGGAGAAGCCUCGUGUUUCAGCAUCUAGUCUUAGGUUUAGUAGCCACCAGUAUUAAGACUAUUGUUUUGAGCUGUCUUUAAUAUUACUAUCAAGUAUCUUGUUAUUUUAUAUGAAUUUAAGUGCUGUACACACUUGUUUUACUUGAAUAUGCUUUUCUUAACAAUAUUGAACAUCAAAUGAAUGAGUGUUAGUUCAUCUUGUGUUCAAGUUAUGUUGAUUGUGUUAAUUGUUUGCACUUGCAUUUAACAGCUGCCCAUAUAGAAAGUUGUAGCUGGU